CUUCGGGAGAAGCAUGGUGAAAAGGUGUGGUGGCCUACCUCUGGCAAUAAAGGCAUUGGCUGGGUUAUUAUACUCGAAAAAGUCUGAGCAAGAAUGGUUGGAGAUCCAAUGCAGUGAAACAUGGGAAUCAAAAAGUGUAUUGCCUUCCUUGAAGUUAUCGUAUGAUAAUUUACCUUCUUUGUCAUUGAAACGAUGUUUUGCAUAUUGCUCUAUUAUGCCAAAGAAUUCAUUCAUCUAUAAGGAUGAACUGAUACAGAUAUGGUUGGCAUUAGGGUUCCUCCUGCCCCCAAGAAGAAGUAUUGCACUGACGGAAGAUAUUGGCAGCAAAUACUUCAAAAUUCUGUUGGGAAAUUCUUUGUUACAAGACGAAGAAAAGGAUGAAUGUGGGAACAUCAUCAGAUGCAAGAUGCAUGAUCUAGUGCAUGAUCUUGCACUAGAAGUAUCUAAACAUCACUCGGUAUCUGUGAAGGCAGGUGAAGAGCUGAGUCAUGAUUGCAAGGCUGUAUACAUGAGGCUUGAUAACAGGGUUUCAAAUAUCAAACCAACAAUUCUGAAGAGAGCCUUUGAGAGAGUACAAGUAUUAUAUGCAGGGGCAGAUAUCCUUCUUCAUGUGUUACCUUAUCUCACACACCUGACUGUUCUGGUGUUAAAUGCGGAUGAUAAUCAGGUUGCCCAGGAGUUGCCAUUUUCGCUGCGCAAGAUGAAAUAUCUUAAACAUCUCGAUAUUUCACGCUGCCACUCUAGAUUGCCUACUGACAUCACAGAACUGUACAACUUGCAGACACUGAGAGUUUGGAACUUAGAUGAGUUUCCAAAAAGGUUUAGCAACUUGAUUAAUCUGAGACAUUUGUACAUUACUUACAUACUUUGUAAAAAGUGCAAGUUUAAUGGGAUAGAAAGGUUGACGAGUCUGCAAACCCUUCCUUUCUUUGUUGUGAGUAAAGAUCAAAACUGUCUUCUUGGACAACUGGGAGGGUUGAAAAAUCUUAGAGGUGAGGUUACACUCUAUGGCCUUUACGAGGUGGCAAAUAUUGAAGAAGCAAGAAAAGCAAAGCUUUGUGAGAAGUCCAGAAUUCAGUCUUUACAUUUGAACUGGAGAUAUACUGAAGUUGGUAAGGAAGGCAAAAUGAAAGACAGAGAAUACAACGACCAGGAUGUGAUGGAAGGAUUGGAACCUCAUCCAAAUCUGAAAACAUUAACGAUUGUCGGUUUUGAAGGAAAGAAGUUUGCAUCUUGGAUUACAAUGAUGCUGAACUUGGUGAAAAUCACAUUGAUAUACUGCAACCGAUGUGAAGUACUUCCACCACUUGGUCAACUUCCCAAAUUGAGGGAGAUAAGGAUUGAUGGGAUGGGAAAUGUUAGGGUUGUGGGAGAUGCUUUUUGGGGUGGCCAAAGUGUAUUUCCUCAACUUGAGAGGUUGAAAAUUGCUAAUUGUCGAAGGUUGAGAAAGAUACUGCCUUGUUGUUUUCCGUCAUUGAAACAACUCCACUUUCAUUAUUUGCCAAAUCUAGAAGAAUGGGAAGCAGCAGUUAUAAGCAGUUGUUCUCAAAGUGAAUUUCCUAAACUUGAGAGGUUGGAAAUUCUGGGUUGUCCAAGGUUGAGAAAUAUCCAGAAAAGUUAUUUUCCGUCCUUGAAGAAGUUGAAAAUUUAUGAUUCGUUCAGUGAAAUGUUGGGAACUAUGAGCAGAGAUGUUAGCUCACUAACCUCUCUACCGCUUACGAGUAUGGGUGACGGAGGAGGAGACUCAUCUUCGUUUUCGAUCAUAGAAUCCCUGAUUAACGAUUCUUUGUCUUUGACCGAAUUAGAUCUAAUUCAUUGCCAGGGCUUAAAAUGUUUGACCCUUGGUAGCUCCCUUGAAUACUUAAAGAUCGAUGAUUGCCCGCAUCUAAGUAGUAUAAAUUUGGUUGAAGGGUCAGCUGGUCUCACAUCUAUUGGGAUUCGGAAACUACCCCCCUCUCUUCUAGAUGGGAUAUUUGCCCAAAUUCAGAGUUCCAGGCUUAAAUAUCUGAGAUUGGGUCCCUUGUCAGAAUUGGAUUAUAUUCGGUGGCCAUUCUCUUCUUCUUCUUCUUCUUCUAACCUAAUUCAGCUAAGACUGUAUGGGUGGGAAGAGGAUAAGUCAUUAGCGCUCUUUGAGCAACUCCCGUUCAACGCCUAUCCUGCGUUGACUGACUUGACUUUACAAUAUUUCAAAGGAGUGAAAGCUCUUCCGGAUUCAAUAGCGAAGCUUCCAUCUCUCCGGAGAUUAAGAAUUGAGGAUUGUUAUAAUUUGGAGAGUUUGCCUGCAUUUGAAGAAUCACAUACCCUUCAAUUACUGUAUAUAGUUGGGUGUCCUGUUCUGAGACAAAGAUGCCGUAAGGGUCAAGGGCCAGAAUGGUUCAAAAUUCAAUACGUUCCAACAAUAAUUUGGUAAGCUUUGCAUGUAAAAAUUUAUCUAUUCUCCCUCGAAAUUAAUCUCUGUUUGUACUAUUUAAUUGAUAUAUCUGAUUUUGUUAAAUCAGGAAUCGUCCGGGGUGCCAGACUAGCAGUAGCUUGGUGAAUGGUGAUCGACUCUACUCCAUCUUCCCUGCCUUGACUGAUUUGUAUGUAGUAAACUUGAAGAAGAGAAAGCUCUCCCGAGUUCAAUAGCAAACCUUAUAUUGCUCACGCAGCUAGUUAUCUGGAAUUCGGAGAAUUUGGAGAGUUUGUCCAUGUUUGAGAACCAUGGGAAUUUGCCAAUUCUGAAAGAAUGAUACACGGAAGAGAGAAUGAUAAUCUAUAGUGCAUCUUAGUGACUUGCUGUACAUCUUACUUUUCAGGGAAAUACUCUAUUGUUGCCUCGAAGUAUUUAUGCUCUCUCAUAGUUCUUUAUUAUAUUUUUGUGUCUUCUGGGAUCAAUGAUCAAAUAAUAGUCAGGUUUAAUGAUCUAAUAUGCUUACAUCUCAUGGCAUAAUUGAUGCAGAAAUCAAGCCUAUUUUGUAGUGUUCCUAUUUUGACAAUUUCGUUUGGCCAAAUGAGCUGCGUUGUCACGAGUAUUGUUUACAUAACCUUGUAUGAUUAUCUUUAUGUCAGUACUCCAACUGAGACUCGUAUUUUCUGUGUCUAUUGAUCUUACGGAAUCAUAGAAUUAUUUCAGAAUACUAAGGAUGUGGCAUGAAUCAAUUAUAGUGUAAUCUAUAUUGUUGUAGCAUAAAUAAUUUUGCACAGAAGAAUAGGACAUAAAUGCUCCAGAAGAAAAUUCCACACUAUUUUCUUGCAAAUAAUUGUAAGGGUUUCACUACCUUGACAUUGACUAAGUUAGUUUUCUUAUAAAUCAUAGUCUUUCAUAUUUCUAUAUUGUAGUUUAAGGUUACUAUCAACGUUCUUCCUAUGUCUGUUCACAAUUUACGAUUGUGUUGCUUUACCUAGAGUGUGAGAUUUCUCAUUCUCCUUUUUUGAUAUACUGAGAAAUUACAGUCGCAACAAAUUUCUGGAAAUCGCAGAGACGAGAGAGUUUGUUUUAUAUGUUCAAUCCUCGAGUCUCUUUUCUCUGUAAUAGGACCAGACUCUGGGAUCGACAAACAUAUUGGGGUUUCAGAUUAUAAGAUUGUUUCAAAUAACAUAGCACCUGUAGCGACUGCUUGUGAUCGUCCUGUUUGUUUGAUGAAAAUAUUUCCGCUUUUCUGUCAUUUUUACACUGACUUCUUUUUAUUCAAUCAUAUCUUUCUGUUUUCGAGUUCAGUGAUCUAAUAAUCUCAUGACGCAGCUCUUGGAAGCUGGAACUGUACGAUAACAGAUGCAGAAGUCAUGCUUACGUAUAGCCGGUACGUUCCAAUUAACUGUAUAUACUUUUGAAUUGUUCAUGGAGCAUAACGAGAGAAGUAGUUGGCAUAUAUUCACCAUUUAAUUUGUCAUUUUCUCUUAAAUUAUUAAAUCCAUGUGCUGGGCUCAGUGAUAACGUGUUUGCCAGUCCUGAUCUGAUCAUAUGUUUGCUCCAAUUAAUAAGGCAAAGGCUCUGGAGUAUACACAUGAAUGAAUAAAUAAAUAAAUAAAGUCAAACAAAUUAAUCAAAAUUCUCUGCACAUUGCAUCAAGUAGCCAAUAUUAAAAUGGAAAACAAGGGUUGAUUCAGCAACUAAUCUAUAGUACCACUUUAUUUAGAAACUAUUGUAGCCCAUAUUACAUUUUUAUCAUCUCACCAAAUAUAUCUCAAGAAUUUUACCAGUGAUCAAUACAAGAAAAGAUGGGCGAGGCUAUUGUAGCUGAUUUGGCUGGCGGAUUGCUGGGCAAGCUUGUUUCACUUGCAGCAGAGGAAGUCGUCCAGGCCUGGAAUUUUCAUGAAGAUCUCGACACACUCCACCAGCGCAUGGAAUCAGUCGGGGCUCUCUUGUACGAUGCUCAUACCAAGAAUUUAAUCAUGUCUACUGCCAAAAACUGGUUUGACAAACUUGAAGCUGUUGCGAAUGUUGCUAAUGUAUUUAUGGAUGAACUUGCAUAUGAAGUCACUCGAAGAAAAGCGGAGAAUCGCCAUAAGUCACUUGACUUCUUCAUUCCUACCAAAAAUACCCUACUAUAUCGUCUCAAGGUAGCUCAUAAAAUCAAGUCCAUUCAAGCUUCCUUUGAUGAAAUUUUCAAAUCGGCAGUAGAUCUCGGACUACAGCCUGUAGCAUAUUUAAGGUCAACGGUGCAAGAUAGAGACAUCCGCAGCACCCCUUCAUAUGAAGACAAGUCAAUAAUAGUUGGACGAGAUGAAGAUGUAUCGUACCUAGUUCAAACAGUGUGCAAAAAACAUGAAGAGGAUUUAGAAGUCAUUGUUGUAGCGGGAAUGGGAGGUCAAGGCAAGACAACUCUUGCUCGUAUGGUUUUCAAUAGUGAUAAUGUCAUUACCAUGUUCCCGGAUCAGAGGAUGUGGAUUACUGUAUCAGAUGACUUUGACUUCAUUAAGAUUUUGAAUCAGAUGGUAGAAUCACUUACUUUAACCAACUUGGGGUUGACAAAUCCACAAGCACUUACCCGUAAACUUCAGGAGAGUCUAAAGGGAAAAAAGUUUCUGCUCAUACUUGAUGAUGUCUGGAAUGAAGAAUCGGUGAAGUGGGAUAACCUGACAAAUUCUUUGCUUGAAAUUGGUGGUGACAAAGGAAGCUGUAUUCUGGUUACCACCCGUAAACAAGAGGUCAUUGAUGCCAUGAGAAGUUGUGUGUCUUAUUGGCUGGAAAUAUUAACAGAGGAUGAAAGUUAUGAACUGUUCAAGAAAAUAGCAUUUUCAGAUGGAGGAGUUUUAGAGACCGAGGCAUUUGCGACCAUCGGGAGAAGCAUGGUGAAAAGGUGUGGUGGCCUACCUCUGGCAAUAAAGGCAUUGGCGGGGUUAUUAUACUCGAAGNGCAUGGUGAAAAGGUGUGGUGGCCUACCUCUGGCAAUAAAGGCAUUGGCGGGGUUAUUAUACUCGAAGAAGUCUGAGCAAGAAUGGUUGGAGAUCCAAUGCAGUGAAACAUGGGAAUCAAAAAGUGUAUUGCCUUCCUUGAAGUUAUCAUAUGAUAAUUUACCUUCUUUGUCAUUGAAACAAUGUUUUGCAUAUUGCUCUAUUAUGCCAAAGAAUUCAUUCAUCUAUAAGGAUGAACUGAUACAGAUAUGGUUGGCAUUAGGGUUCCUCCUGCCCCCAAGAAGAAGUAUUGCACUGACGGAAGAUAUUGGCAGCAAAUACUUCAAAAUUCUGUUGGGAAAUUCUUUGUUACAAGACGAAGAAAAGGAUGAAUGUGGGAACAUCAUCAGAUGCAAGAUGCAUGAUCUAGUGCAUGAUCUUGCACUAGAAGUAUCUAAACAUCACUCGGUAUCUGUGAAGGCAGGUGAAGAGCUGAGUCAUGAUUGCAAGGCUGUAUACAUGAGGCUUGAUAACGGGGUUUCAACAAUCAAACCAACAAUUCUGAAGAGAGCCUUUGAGAGAGUACAAGUAUUAUAUGCAGGGGCAGAUAUCCUUCUUCAUGUGUUACCUUAUCUCACACACCUGACUGUUCUGGUGUUAAAUGCGGAUGAUAAUCAGGUUGCCCAGGAGUUGCCAUUUUCACUACGCAAGAUGAAAUAUCUUAAACAUCUCGAUAUUUCUCACUACAAAUUGCCUACUGACAUCACAGAACUGUACAACUUGCAGACACUGAGAGUUGGAGACCUAGAUGAGAUUCCAAAAAGGUUUAGCAACUUGAUUAAUCUGAGACAUUUGUACAUUCGUAACAACUAUGGUAAAAAAUGCAUGUUUAAUGGGAUAGAAAGGUUGAUUAGUCUGCAAACACUUCCUUACUUUGUUGUGAGUAAAAAUCAAAAUUGUCUCGUUGGACAACUGGGAGGGUUGAAACAUCUUAGUGGUGAGAUUAGACUCUAUGGCCUUUACGAGGUGGCAAAUAUCGAAGAAGCAAGAAAAGCAAAGCUUUGUGAGAAGUCCAGUAUUCAGUGUUUACAGUUGAACUGGAGGAAUACUGAAUUUGGUCACGAAGACAGUCAGCACAAUGAUGAGGAUGGGAGCAAUGAAGACGAAAUGGAAGACAAAGAAUACAACGACCAGGAUGUGAUGGAAGGAUUGGAACCUCACCCAAAUCUGAAAACAUUGAUGAUUGUCGGUUUUAGAGGAAAGAAGUUUGCAUCUUGGAUUACAGUGAUGCUGAACUUGGUGAAACUCACAUUGAGAAAUUGCAACCGAUGUGAAGUACUUCCACCACUUAGUCACCUUCCCAAAUUGAGGGAGAUAGUGAUUGAAGGGAUGAGAAAUCUUAGGGUUGUGGGAGAUGUUUUCUGUGGUGGCCAAAGUGUAUUUCCUCAACUUGAGAGGUUGAAUAUAGAGAAUUGUCCAAGGUUGAGAAAGAUACUGCCUAGUUGCACAGGGGUUAGUUCUCAGAGUGAAUUUCCUAAACUUGAGAUUUUGAAAAUUACAAAUUGCCCAAGGUUGAGAACGAUCCCGAAAAGUUAUUUUCCGUCCUUAAAGAAUUUGGUUAUUACUGAUUUGGAGAGUGAUAUGAUGUUGGGAACUAUGAGCAGAUAUGUUAGCUCAUUAACCUCUCUAUCGCUUUUGAGGAUCGGUGAUUGAGGAGGAGACUCAUCUUUAUCUUCGUUUUCGAACAUGGAAUCCAUGAUUAACAAUUCUCUGUCUUUGACCGAAUUAGAGCUAUAUGACUGCAAGGGCUUAAAAUGUCUAACCAUUGGUGUCUCCCUUGAAUACUUAUUCAUCGAUGAUUGCCCGCAUCUAACUAGUAUAAAUUUAGUUGAAGGGUCAGCUGGUCUCAAAAUAUUUGGGAUUGGGAUACUCCCCUCCUCUCUUCUAGAUGGGCGAUUGUCCCAAAUUCAGUGUUCCAGGCUUGAAUGUCUGAGGUUAGGUCCCUUCUCAGAUGAAUUUGAUUAUAUUCCGUGGCCAUUCUCUUCUUCUUCUUUUUCUAACCUAUCUAUGCUAUAUCUGUAUGGGUGGGAAAAGGUUAAGUCAUUAGUGCACUUUGAGCAACGCCUGUUCACCGCCUUUCCUGCCUUGGGUUCUUUGACUUUAUGUGGUUUCGAAGGAUUGAAAGCUCUUCCGGAUUCAAUAGCAAAACUUCCAUCUCUCAAGGUAUUAUUCAUCUUUGAAUGUAAUAAUUUGGAGAGUUUGCCUGUAUUUGAAGAAUCUCAUAUCCUUCAAGCACUGGCUAUAAUUGAGUGUCCUGUUCUGAGACAAAGAUGCUGUAAGGGUCAAGGCCCAGAAUGGUUCAAAAUUCAAUACGUUCCAAAUAUAUAUUGGUAAGCUUUGCACGUCAAAUUUAUCUCUUCUCCCUCUCAAUUAAUCUCUGUUUGUACUAUUUAAUUGAUAUAUCUGAUCUUAUUCAAUCAGGGAUCUUGAGAGCUCGUAGGGAGCUUUUUAGCUUGGUGAGACUCCAUCUUCCCUGCCUUGACUGAUUUGGUAAAGAAAAGAAAGCUUUCCCGAGUUCAAUAGCAGACCAUCUAUUGCUCAAGCAGUUAAUUAUUCAGAACUCUGAAAAUUUGGAGAGUUUGUCCAUGUUUGAGAACAACGAGAAUUUGGCAAUUCUGAAAGAAUGAUACACGGAAGAGAGAAUGGUCCAAGAUUCAACAUAUUCCAGAUAUAAUUUAUGUGAACUUGCAUAUAUAAAUUAUCACCUCACCCUCUGUUUAUCACUGUUUUAAUGAUAUAUCUUUAUUUGUUUGAAUCAGGAUUUAGAUAUUGCAGUAUCUCCUUCUUGUCACUGUAUUCCGUGUUCAAUUUCCAAAAAUUAUACUCCUAAAUGCUUCUGAAUAUUAUUCCUUCCUUCACAGAGUGCAAAGUUAUUUAUCCCUGGAGUGAGAUAAAAAGUGAUAUAUGUCCGAUAUUAAUCUUUUUUAGAUAAAAAUUAAUUAUAUUGUCCAUAUCCUUCGUACUAUAUAAAAAUAUUAAACAAAACAGAAGACUUGAGUCCUUGACUGUUUAAGAUAAAUAUGGUAGACAUAUGAAGAUUAAAGGGAGGACAGAGAAUGCAACGACGAGGAUGUGAUGAAGGAUCAGAACCUCAUCAAAAUAUAAUUGAAUUGACUAUUGAAGAUUUUAUGGGGCAGAAGCUUGCAGCAUGGAUUACAAUGAUGAGAAACUUAGUGAAAAUCUCAUUUGCAGAUCGCAACAGAUGCCAAGUACUUCCACCACUUGGUCAUCAUCCUGAUCUUAGAAAGAUGGAAAUUUAUUGGAUGCCUGAUCUCAGGGUUAUGGGGAGUGAUUUAUGCUCUGUAGCAGAUACAAUAACACUGUAUCCGUCACUGAUAGAGCUCUUUUUGUCCGAUAGGCCAAACCUAGAAGAAUGGGUAGAAGCAAUUAUAAGUAGGGGCGAUGGCCAAUGUGUGUUUCCUGAACUUGAGCAUUUAGAAAUUGUGAAUUGUCCAAGGUUUUAAGCAAGAUCCUGAAUAGUUGUUUUUCGUCCUUGAAGGAGUUGAGACUUGUCAAGAGUAGCAUGAUACUAGAAACUAUGAGCAGAAGUGCUAGCUCACUUACCUCUCUUGAGCUCAAGUUUAUCAGUGAUGCAAGAGGAGAUUCAUCUUCUUCUAUGAUUAACCUGCUGCUGCUGAAAAACAGUUACCUGUCUUUGACCAAAUUCGAGAUACGUGAGUCAAGGAUCUAAGACGUCUAACGCUUGGUGCCUCUCUUGACAGCUUGUUUGUAAUGGAUGAACGCAUCUAAUUAGCAUUGAUUUAGCCGAUAUUUCAAUUGUGGGAUUCCCCUCCCCCCUGUCAGAACCAGUAUUUGCCUGGCUUGUAGAAUUGGGCUUAGAUCCCUUUUCCGAGGAAUCAGAUGAAUUUUUUCAGAUAUUAUUAUGCACCCUUUGUUUAUAUUGACAGGACUCUGUUCUCGGAUCUCCUAAACAUCAGAGACUUGGAUGGGGAUGUGACAUGUUACCUCGCGUUGGAGAUAUGGAGCUUGAAGAUUUAUGGAUAGAACAAUCAAGGUACAUCAUGCAGCAUCUCUUUAUUGUUACUAUUCUAGAGUUUUGUUUGAUAAAUCAGUCCUUGAUGCAUUUGAAUUACUUCUUAUAUAAAUCUUGUAUUGACAUGUACUACUAGAUUCUAAUACAUUUUAGCACAUUAUUACAGCUAUUGUGAAGAAUUUGAGAUUAUGUAUGCUAAUUGAUCGUGGAUCUUUUAAAUAUCGAUGCACAGUGAUGGCUGGAUUUUAUCUAUUUUUAGAGUGGUCAGUAUUUCAAAUUUAUAAAUAGGUGAUUGGACAAUAUUUUUAUGUUUCAAAGAAAUGUCUAAGGGUUAUUUUGUGAUUCUUUUUUACCGGAAAAGUGGGCCUUAGCAACCUUUUGAUGAAUUAAGAGAAUACAUGGUCAUCUUAUUACAAAUUUGAAAUUUCGACAAUCAAAAUGAAAAAAUGGAUAAAGUUCGGCUUCUAAAGAUAUUCUCCUUUUUUUAUAUUACUGGCAAAUUAUAAUCGCAUCGAAUUUCUGGAAAUAAUUCUUUUCAAGGAAAUGCUCUACUUGUUGCUUAGAAAUUACUAGUUACCAAAAUUCCUGCUUUGAAGUCAUUUUUACACGAUGACUUCCUAUGAUUCGUAAUUAUUUUUUCGAGUUUGCGCAUCUAAUAAUCUCAAAGUGCAACUCUUGAAAGUUGCUUAGAAAUUAUUGAAUCCAUGUGCUGGUCUCAAGUUACAAUGUGUGUAAUUUACGGCACUGAUCAGCGACUUCACCGGACAUUACUGUGUCUUCUGACAACAACCAUAAGCUUUUCUAUUUCAACUUUGUUAGCUCCCCUGGCUGUCAGCUUAAUCCAUCAGAUCUAUAUUUUUAGUUUAUUUAAACAUACACAUGCACUGCAAAUUGCAACGUGACUGAGAUAAAUUACUUCCUUAAGUUGUCAAUUUCACAGUGAUUAACAAUAAAAUGUAUCAUAAUAUUAUACUUUUCAUAUUUUUGCGAGUCCUCAUCAUGUAUUCAUGUGCUUGCUCUGAUCAAUCUGGCAAAGCCUCUGGAGUAUACACAUGAAUGAAUGAAUGAAUGAAUAAAUAAAGUCAAACAAAUUAAUUGUGUCACGAUUAAAUAAAUCAAAAUUCUCCUCAUGUUGCAUCAACUAGCCAUUAUGAAAAUGGGAAACAAGGGUUGAUUCAGCAACUAAUUUAUAGUGCCACUUGAUUUAGAAACUGCUAUAGCCCAAAUUACACUUCUAUCAUGUCACCAAAUAUAUCUCGAGAAUUAUACCAGUGAUCAAUACAAGAAAAGAUGGCCGAGGCUAUUGUAGCAGAUUUGGCUGGCGGAUUGCUGGGCAAGCUUGUUUCACUCGCAGCUGAUGAAGUUGUCCAGGCUUGGAAUCUUCAUGAAGAUCUCGACACACUGCACCAGCGCCUGGAAUUUAUCGAUUUCUUACGAGUGAGGUGUCGAUAUAUAUGAAUCGAGGGAUUUUGAUUCCGAUAAUUGGUUAGUUAGACGAUCAUAAAAGUGAUAUCAUUUGAAAAAUAAUGAAAAUAAUGUUAUAAUUUUGUGAUCGAUUUGUUUAGAAAACAAAGGGAUUUGAUCGAAAAAUUGAAUAAAAAUUAGGAUUUCAUGUAAAUGACUGAGGAGAGAACCCUAGAUUGGAUCUGCAAAGAAAAUCCAGAUAGGAUAGGAUAUGGAUAAGACAAUUAUUAGGUUGACUGGUUGAGUGGUGGAAAACAAAGAAUGAUCUGCCAAUAUUAAAAUGCAAAACAAAGGUUGAUCUAGCAACAAAUCUAUAGUGCCACUUGAUUUAGAAACUGUUAUAGCCCAAAUUACAUUUUUAUCAUCUCACCAAAUAUAUCUCAAGAAUUAUACCAGUCAAUACAAGAAAAGAUGGGCGAGGCUAUUGUUGCUGAUUUGGCUAGUAAAUUGUCCAAGGUUUUAAGCAAGAUCCUGAAUAGUUGUUUUUCGUCCUUGAAGGAGUUGAGACUUGUCAAGAGUAGCAUGAUACUAGAAACUAUGAGCAGAAGUGCUAGCUCACUUACCUCUCUUGAGCUCAAGUUUAUCAGUGAUGCAAGAGGAGAUUCAUCUUCUUCUAUGAUUAACCUGCUGCUGCUGAAAAACAGUUACCUGUCUUUGACCAAAUUCGAGAUACGUGAGUCAAGGAUCUAAGACGUCUAACGCUUGGUGCCUCUCUUGACAGCUUGUUUGUAAUGGUUGAACGCAUCUAAUUAGCAUUGAUUUAGCCGAUAUUUCAAUUGUGGGAUUCCCCUCCCCCCUGUCAGGACCAGUAUUUGCCGCGCUAGUAGAAUUCGGCUGAGGUCCCUUUUCCGAGGAAUUAAUCGGAUGAAUUUUCAUGGCCAUCAUCUUCUUCUUUGAAUGCGACUUCAUUUCCUAAGCUAAUCUUGCUUCAUUUGCUUGGGUCGGGAAAGGUAAAGACAUUGGUGCUCUUUGAUCAAAUUCAGUUCCCUGCCUUGAAAGUGUUGUUUAUAAUUGAUUCCAUACCUAGUGGCUAGUUAAUUGAUUUCAUACCUAGUGGCUAGUUCUCCCAAAUUCAAUAGCAAGACUUCCAUCUCUAAGGGCAAACCCAGCAGUGAUCGAAAGAUCCAAAUUUGGAGCAGAUUAUCCCAAAUUCUUCUCCAGCAGUAAUUCAAAAAGUGAUCCAAAUUUGGAUCAGUGAAUAGUACUGAUCCAAAUUUGGAUCACCAUUGUUCACUGAUCCAAAUUUGGAUCACCUACUUUAUUAUAAAAUAAUGAUUUUGUUAUUUCUAUAUCUUUCGUUUAUCGGACUUAAAAUUAAUUUGUGAUUAUUAAUAUUUAAUUAAUAAUAAUUAAUAAUUAACAGAAUUAAUGUUUUAAUAAAAACUUAGAAUAAUAGGAUAGCAAAUUUCAUUGAAAUUAAAAAAAGAGUACAUUACAUGCAUACAAUAAGAAUUACAUAAAAUGCAUGAAAUAAAAUUACAAUAUCGAGAAAUGACUAGAAAACAGUACGACAAAUAUAAAUUUUGAUUUAAUUGAACAUAUUAUUUUUUUUUCCUUUGAGAUAAUCAAAAUAUUAUCCGUAACUAUUCAUAUCAUUUUGGGAUACUUGAGCUUCAUCUUCAUUGUCUUGAUUUUGAGUUCAAUAUAAAAUUUAUGUAAUGUAAUAUACAAAAAGUAAUUUGGAUCAGAAUUUGGAUCACGUUGCUGGAGUUGGUCAGAAAUUUAGAUCAGAAUUUGGAUCAGUUGGUGAUCCAAAUUUAAAUUUUUUGAUCACAACUGCUGGAGAUGGCUAAAGGGACUGCGUAGUCUUAGGUUUGUGUUUGGAAAUUAGCGGUGUGAGGAAAAAUUAGAGAUUUGUGGUGAUUUAGAGGUUUGACAAUUUUAAUCCGCUAAUGAUAGUGUUGGAUAGUUAGCUAAGAAUUUCACUUUGUUCUCACUCGUUAGCUUUAGGGGGAAUAUUGAGGACUUAAAUACAAGAAUAGUUUAGUCUUUGUAAUUGAGUAGGUAUUAGGGCUGCUCAUGGGUUGUCCAACCCGUUCAAACCAACCCCACCCAACCUUGAACUAGGCCGACUAACCCGACACAUUCCAAACCGUGGGUUAAUUGGGUUGAUUUUUGGUUGAGCCGUUUAUUAUGGGUUGGGUUGAAAUAUAACUUUUAAAAACCUUAAACCAACCCAACCCGGUCAAAAUAUAUCUUUAUCACUCUGAUAGAAUAUUUUUGGUUGCUCACGGAACUAUAUUUAUUUAUUUGAUGAUCGAAUGUGCAGUGAGUGUAGUGCAAUGUGCAGAAAAAAUUAGAAAUAAAGCUUUGUAGUUCAAAUCAAACGACUCACAUUACUAGUUCUUAUGAUUAUAUAUCAUGGCGAAAACAUUAUUUUUAAUAGUUAGUAGUGUAUUAAGAUUCAGCUGUCCACCUUAGUAUGAAGAGAAUAUCUGCACUCUAAAAGCACAUGAUAUUUUGUAUCGGUGCAGUGUGCUAUGUUAUUGUUAAUUGUACACAACAAAAUGGUGCAAAACAUGUUUUGGGUUAUGCUUAUCUUGCAAAUUUUCAACCCGAUCAACCCUACCCUAACCAACCCAACCCGUCAUACAAUUAGUAGGGUUGGGUUUCUAAUUCUUUUUAUGAUUAAUGGGUUAAAUUUUUGUAACCCGUACUAAAUUUUUGUAGCGAAUGAUCGAAACCGGUCCAACCCAGCCCAUGUGCAGCCCUAGUAGGUAUUGUAUUCUAUAUAAAGUCCCACUUAGUUUCAUUCUAGGCAGACUUUGACCAUGUAGUCCUUUUGAGAUAUAUAGCAGUAAAAACAUAUCGUUUCAUUCACUGUUCUUCUUGGUUCUUCCUUCAAGAUAUAAACUACAUUUACUUAGAUAUAUGAAAGUUAUAACCUCGAGACAGCUGCGUGUCCAGUUCUGAGAGAAAGAUAUAGCAAGGGAAGUGGGCCGGAAUGGUUUAAGAUUCAAUAUAUUCAAAUUAUAAAAUUGAAUUAGAUCAGUUCAGUACAAGCCUAAGUAUAGCCUUCAACUCUAUAAACUUUUAUUAGAGCAGUUCCCGAAGAAUUUGGAGGGUUUGCGAACGUGUGAAAAACUUCAUAGCAUUCGAGGAUUGGAUAUGACUGAUGUCCUGUCAUGAAAGUAAGAUGUAAAGGCUGAGUGCCCCAAAAUGGUUCCGGGUUCAGCGUAUUACACCGAUAAUAUGGUAGAAAUUUAUGAACUUAAUUUAUUACCUCUGCUAUACUCAUCUGUUUGGAUAUGUUGAUGUGUGAGACUUUUUUUCACGUACUUUUAAGAGUUUUGAUCAUAUACUUAUAUUUUAAAAUUUCUUUUUGGAAAUUAAAAUAUGACAUUAACAUUUUUAUUCAAAAAAAAAUAUUAAAAACAAUAAUUUUAAGCAUACCAUCAAAACUCCUAAAAAUAUGUGUAAACAAGUCAAGAGACUAUUACAUCCUGGAGUAUUAUUUUUUUUGGAUAUUAAUAUGCACUCUUUGUUAAUAUUUGUUGAUAUUGUCACCAGACGUUAGAGAUUUGGAGCUUUGUUUGGGAUCCAUGGAUAGAACAAUCAAGGUACAUCAUGCAGUAUCUCUUUGUUGUUACUAUUCUAGAGUUUUGUUGGAUAAAUAAGUCCUUGACGCAUCUGAUUUCUGGAUAUCGUAGAGUAUGCAGCUUAAAGGAAAGAAGUUUCCAGCUUGGAUUACGAUGAUGCUGAACUUGGUGAAAAUUACAUUGAGAGAUUGCAACCGAUGUGAAGUACUUCCACCACUUGGUCACCUUCCCAAAUUGAGGGAGAUAGCGAUUGAUGGGAUGAGAAAUGUUAGGGUUGUGGGAGAUGAUUUUUGUGGUGGCCAAAGUGUAUUUCCUCAACUUGAGAGGUUGAAAAUUGAGAAUUGUGCAAGGUUGAGAAAGAUACUGCCUAGUUGUUUUCCGUCAUUGAAACAACUCUUCUUUUGGCAAUUGCCAAAUCUAGAAGAAUGGGAAGCAGCAGUUAUAAGUACAGCGGUUAGUUCUCAGAGUGGAUUUCCUAAACUUGAGAGUUUGGAAAUCUGGAGAUGUCCAAGGUUGAGAAAGAUACUGUCUAGUUGUUUUCCGUCAUUGAAACAACUCUACUUUAGGGAAUUGCCCAAUCUAGAAGAAUGGGAAGCAGCAGUUAUAGGUACAGGGGUUAGUUCUCAGAGUGGAUUUCCUAAACUGGAGAGUUUGGAAAUUUUGGAAUGUCCAAGGUUGAGAAAGAUCCCGAAUAGUUAUUUUCCGUCCUUAAAGAAGUUGGAAUUAACUGAUUUGGAGAGUGAUAUGAUGUUGGGAACUAUGAGCAGAGUUGUUAGCUCACUAACCUCUCUAUUGCUUAUGAGUAUUGGUGACGGAGGAGGAGACUCGUCUUCUUUAUCUUUGUUUUCGAAUAUGGAAUCCCUGAUUAACAAUUCUCUGUCUUUGACCAAAUUAGAGCUAAUUGAUUGCAAGGGCUUAAAAUGUCUGACCCUUGGUAGCUCCCUUGAACACUUAAAAAUUUAUAAUUGCCCGCAUCUAAUUAUUAUAAAUUUAGUUGAAGGGUCAGCUGGUCCCAAAUCUAUUGAGAUUGGGGAACUCCCCCCCUCUCUUCUAGAUGGGGGAUUUGCCCAAAUUCAGAGUUCCAGGCUUGAAUAUCUGGGAUUAGGUCCCUUCUCAGAUUUGGAUUAUAUUCCGUGGCCAUUCUCUUCUUCUUCUAAUCUAAUUCUGCUAGACCUGUUUGGGUGGGAAAAGGUCAAAUCAUUAGCGCUCUUUGAGCAACCCCUGUUUAUCGCCUACCCUGCCUUGACUAUCUUGAAUUUACAUGAUUUUGAAGGAGUGAAAGCUCUUCCGGAUUCAAUAGCAAAACUUCCUUCUCUGCAGGAUUUAAGCAUCUUUGAUUGUAAGAAUUUGGAGAGUUUGCCCCCAUUUGAAGAAUCACAUACUCUUCAAACACUGAAUAUAGUGCGGUGUCCUGUUCUAAAACGAAGAUGCAGUAAGGGUCAAGGGCCAGAAUGGUUCAAAAUUCAAUACGUGCCAAGUAUAAUCUGGUAAGCUUUGCAUGUCAAAUUUAUAUCUUCUCCCUCUCAAUUAAUCUCUGUUUGUACUAUUUAAUUGACAUAUCUUAUUUUGUUAAAUCAGGGAUUAUAAGAGGUGGCAGUGAAAUUUUUAGCUUGGUGAUUGUCUCUACUCCAUCUUCCCUUGUAUGUAGUAAAUUUAAAGAAGAGAAAGCUCUCUUGAGUUCAAAAGCAGACCUUCUAUCGCUCAAGCAGUUAGUUAUCUGGAAUUCUGAAAAUUUGGAGAGUUUGCCCAUGCUUGAGAACAACGGGAAUUUGCUAAUUCUGAAAGUAUGAUACACGGAGGACGAAUGGUCCAAGAUUCAACAUAUUCCAGAUAUAAGUUAUGUAAACUUGCAUAUCUUAAUGAUCACCUCACCCUCUGUUUGUCACUAUUUUAAUGAUAUAUUAUAAUUUGUUGAAUCAGGAUUUAGAUAUAAAGGGAAUGCUCUAUUGUUGCCUCGAAGUAUUUAUGCUCUUUUCUAGUUCAUUAUUAUAUUUAUGUCUUCUGGGUUCAAUGAUCAAAUAAUAGUCAAUUUCAAUGAUGUAAUAUGUUUGUGUCAUGGGAUAACUGAUGCAGAUGCCAAGCCUAUUUUGUAGUGUUCCUAUUUUGACAAUUUUUUGUGGCUAAAUGAGUUGUGUUGUCAUGAGAAUUGUUAACAUAACCUUGUAUGAUUGUCUUGAUAUAUUUUACAGAAAGGGGAAUAUAUCUAGUUCAUGGACAAAUGAAUUAAUUUUCCCUAGAAAUUACUCGAAACUUCUUUGCAGAAAAAAGUUGAAACAUUCCCUUCUACUCUUGGUCUAUUCUGACCAAUUAGAAACAAUUUAGCUUCCUUGCUCUUUCUGGGAACUUUGUUAGUAUAUAUUAUAAUAAUUGAGAUCGAAUCUUCUGAACAUCAGAGACUUGGAUGGGGAUGUGACAUGUUACCACACAUUGGAUAUUUGGAGCUUGUUUGUGAUCCAUGGAUAGAGCAAUCAAGGUACAUCAUGCAGUAUCUCUUUCUUGUUACUAUUCUAGAGUUAUGUUUGAUAAAUCGCAGUACUGUUACUUUGAUCUCAUUCUUCUGUUCAAAGUGCAGAACCAAUUACAAUUAAUAAUUGUGUUGUGUGCCGAUCUACAUGGAGUGAGAUAUCAUAGUGUAAUAAUGGUUAUUUUUGAGGGAAAUACUAAUCUUUGCUGUUACUCACAAUUUACAGUUGCAUGAAAGUGUGUUUUAUCUGUUUAAUCCGCUCAUCUGUUUCUACAUUGGACCAGCCUCCAGGAUUAAGAGAACAGUGACUGUAGCCAGUUGCACUCUGCUUCUUUGAGUUUCAAAUAUCCAAAUUAUUUCAGAAUACCAAGGAUACGGCAUGAAUCAUGAUGGCGUAUCUCAGUGACUUGUUUGUCGUUGUCACAGUAAUUGAAUCUUGAUUACUGGAUCCGCUGCUUGAGUGCAUGUCAUCCUGUUUUUUCAUCAAUAUUUCUAAUGAAAAUUAAAUACUCAAGUGCAGUAAUGCCUUUAAUUGUCUACUCCUUUGCUGAGAUUGCCUUGUGGGAAAAAAAAGGAGCUCCCUGAACUCAAUAAGAGAAUCCAAGUUAUUGGCAUACUGCACUUUUCAAGUUGGCACUUUUUCUUAAAUUUAAAAUAGAGUACCUUUCUUCUAUCUCCUUGUUUCAAUGUAGUUGCUUUCAUUUUGGCUAAAUUAACGAUCUCUAUGCUCCCCAGACUCCUUUUCACUGUAAUAUCAAACAUUAAGAUAUCAAAAUUUGGUUAUUAUUAUAUUAUAAUAAUUAUUAUUAUAUUAUUAUGAAAACCAUUCUACACCUGUCAGGAUUUUGUAAAGUCGCGAUCAUCUCCAACGCCAACAAACUAUUCAUUUUAAUUUUUAUAACUCUUAAAAUUUAAUUUACUAAAAACUCCAUAAUAAUUUCCAUAGCUGUUUUACAUCGGUAAAUCAGUUGAAGCCCAUAGAUUUUAACAAUCUCUGGGGAGGUCUAGACAGAGGAGCUCCAAAACCAGUUACAACAACACUGUGUCCAUGACUGAUAGAACUCAGCUUGUAUAAAUUGCCAAAGCUAGAAGAAUGGGUAGAAGCAGAUAUGAGUACAGGGGUAAUAAGAUAUAGGUGAAUGCUUCAACUAUCUGCAUAUUGUGAUAACAAUGAUAUAAGUAGAUGAUAGUAUGCCCUUUUUCUCUAGCACCAACAAACAAAAUAUAUGCACUCUUCAAUUUUGUUAAUUGAUGUAUAUAAAAACUGAACGAUAAAAUAUAUGUAGUAUGUUACUUGUGCCCUUGUGGGAGACUUGGUAGAACAAUAAAGGUACCUUAUAACUUCAAAAAGUAUCUUUCUUGUUACUAUUCUGAAUGAUGGCAUGAUUAAUAACUUCCUUUAUGCUUCUAAAUGGUUGUUUAUGGUUACUACUUAUCCUUAUACAUUUCUGUGCAGAGCUGAUAAGAGCAUCUCCAACACUCCUAAUCCCUUAGCUAAAAGUCUAGUUGGCUUUCCAAAAUUAAAUUUUAUAGUCAAUGUUCACAAAAAAUGUAACUUCAACCACAACAAGCCCUUGUGUAUAAUUAUAGUCAUCCUCCUAUAAAUGACUCUAUUUGUCGAUCCGCUACAGAUCUGUAGCGAAUUCCACGUCAUCUCCCGCAAUUUAUUUUCCUCCUUCCCAUUGAUUACAUAUUAUUUAUUACCAUGUUAAACUGAUAUAUUCUAUUUAUAAUAAUCUAAAUAUUAAUAACAUAUUAUUUUUAAAUUAUAGCCAAUAUCAUUGAAGCACCAUGUCUUACAGAUUCAGCAAAUUUUACAUAAUGUCUUACAGGUCCAAUUUAGCCGACGAUUAUAGCCAACGUUAUUGGAGAUGCUCUACCGCACCUAGCAACUGUGUUGUGUGCCAGUUCAUACGGAGUGAGAUUUUUAGUAGUAACAGAUAUACGAGUCUUUACUCGUAAAGUCAUUUAUUUUUUAGGCUUCUUCAACCGACAUAGUGGAUAUUAGACACGCUGCUGUUUUGCAGAUAUUUAAGAAUGCUAAUUGAAUUUCUGCACUGAUGUUUCUGAAGCAUUGCUGUCUGGUGCUUGAUGUUCACUGUUUAAUGUCCUUUUAACUUUCAUGAGUUUGAAAUAUAAUGGUUGUUUAUCCAUUAUAUACCAUUUUUUAGUUCGAAGGUUAAUUGGAACAUAUCAUAUACUUGGAAAGUGGAAUCGAUCUAGUUAAAACAUAGCAAAUCUAUCAAUACACAACCCCAAAUGAUUAAAAGAGCAUUUAUCCAUUAUAAAUUCUUGAAAAAGUAUGAUAAUUAUCACCUUUUACACAAGAAUAGUUUGAAAAACUUAUAAUUAAUUUUGCAAAUCAUAUAUAUGACACAUAAUAACUAAAGGCCCUCAAAAAACUAUACACAAUUUAAAUAUUAAAUAAUUUAAAAGAUCUCAAUUUAAAUUUUGUAUAAUAUCAACGAUUGAACCAGUUCCGGAACUAAAAUGUUACAAGAUUUAACAUUUUCCGCUUACAGUCAUGACUCAUAAACUUACAUUUCUACCUUACCCCAUCAGCCACUCUUUUUACUAAAUUAUUUACUGACCUUUGGCUUAAGCCGUUUACCCACCAGUAUAAGAUUGCAACCACUUCCAAAACCACUUCCAAGCUCCGCAAGUACCCGGCGGUUCCCCGCAUCUCGCACGUGUCGUACUGAGGAUACAGAUAAUGCAAAUUCAAAUUCGAAUAUAUGAUUGAUUAAUAUUUGUAUUAUAGGUUAACGAUGAGAACAAGCCUUGGCAUCUUUUCUCUUCGGAAGAUUUGAACGCAGGUAUGUAACCUUCAAAAUUACAAUUUUCAAGAAUUCAAAAUUGAAUUCAAAUCGUUAUGUAUGUAUAGGUAACUGUUUGAACUCUCUGUAAUUCCAUCUUCUCUCUAUCAUCUAUUUUAAGCUUCUCUAAUUCAUGCUGAUUCUACUCUUUUUAUUGUUAGUUUUGUCUAUGUUUGUCACCCUUCUAAUGAUUUCUACUUAUUUUGAUUGCAGUUGAACUUCGUCCAAAUAUUGUUUGAUGAUUUGUCCAAAAGAAAAAGAUUGAAAAAUACAUAAUUAUUCAGGUAAUUUAUGUAUGUUAUAGUGUUUGUUUUGAUUAUUUAUUUGAUAUUGGUAUAUAUACCUGAAUAUAUUUGUUCUUAUUUGGUGUCUUCAUUUUUAAAUAUAUCAUUCUUACUUUUAGACCUUUUAUAUUCCCUCAGUCCCGCCAGAUUCUUUACAUUUUCUUUUUUGCGAUGUCUCAUCCAAUUCUUUACAUUUCAAGACUUACUAAAAAUUGGCUGGGACGGAGGGAGUAAUGAUUGUUAUUUGACAAAGCAUAGUUAUGUAUUCUUUAAUGAGAGUUUCAGCGCGCUUAAUAGCAAUGUUUAAUAUUGAUAGAAUGUGCUUAAUCAGAAUCUGUUGUAGAGUUGUCCGCAAGAAGUUGAGUUUUGAUAUGAUUAAAAUGAUGCGUUUUUGUUGGAUACAUAUGUAGAUUGAAUUUGAGUGUGCAUGAGUAAUGGGUUUGUUGAGUUUUGAGAGUUUAUUAAGUACACAACUUUAGAUUAAGCUCAUACGAUGUUAGUCAUGGAUCUAGAGUGACAGAUCUGAAAAAUUGAGCAAAUGGGGAUGCCUCCAUCAGUACAAUCAACAUGGUUGUUACGUCGGUAAGUCGAGUCGAGUCGACUCGACCGGACUCUCCGGCAAGUCGAGUCGUGACUAGUCGACACAAGUCGACAAGGUAUAAAACUAAUAAUAUAUAUCAUAUAUACUUCUAUUUAUAUGUGUAACAAAUUAUAUAUGUGUUCUAACUUCUAAAUUCCCACUUCUAACAAUUCUUUUUCUGCUUUUCUCUUAUUUAUACUUGUUUGAGAUCUUAAAGACCUAAACCUACAAAGAUAAAGACCACGAGAAAAUUGAAAGAAGACUAAAGAAGAGAAGAAAACUAUGUAAACAUGUAAUCUAAUAUAGCAAUUUCCUACUAUUGUACCUAACAAAGAGAUUACUUAUCAAAUGAUUAAACAUUCAAAUUCAAUCAAUGAAUUGUCACAAUAUUGCUGUGCAAGCCAGCAACAUCAAAAUAAAUGCAGAACAACAAAACUGAACAGAAACAUAGCUUAAACUGCAGAAAUGUAGGCAGUUUCAAGCUGCAGAAAUCUGGGCACUAGCAGUUUAAAACUGCAGAAUUCUGGGCCCUUUUAAGUGCAGAAUGCAACUGUGUAACUGCAGAAGAGUGCAUAACACCAAAACACAUAGNUGUACCUAACAAAGAGAUUACUUAUCAAAUGAUUAAACAUUCAAAUUCAAUCAAUGAAUUGUCACAAUAUUGCUGUGCAAGCCAGCAACAUCAAAAUAAAUGCAGAACAACAAAACUGAACAGAAACAUAGCUUAAACUGCAGAAAUGUAGGCAGUUUCAAGCUGCAGAAAUCUGGGCACUAGCAGUUUAAAACUGCAGAAUUCUGGGCCCUUUUAAGUGCAGAAUGCAACUGUGUAACUGCAGAAGAGUGCAUAACACCAAAACACAUAACUUUAUAGUAAUUAAAACCAUAAACUAGAGAGCAUAAACUGCAGAACCAAGUUAAAAAAGUGGAAAAAUGCAGAAUUAAGCUCCAGUCGACCGACCGGGGCUUCCAGUCGACCCGACUAGUCGACCCAGUCGACCAGUUGAUCAUGAGUCGGGCGAAAUACUUACAAUUUUCUAGUCGACCAGCCCAGUCGAGCCAUACAUACCGACUGCUCGACUAGUCGACGACUAGUCGUGACUAGUUGAGCGACUCAACAACAAUGACAAUCAAUUUUAAAAAAAUUGAACAUUUAAAAACGAGAUUAAAGAUGGAUGCAUGUGUAUGAGUUUGGCUAAUACUAAUGGCCUUUCAUUAGUGCUCACAAGUUCUUAAGAACUUGAUAUAGCAUAAAAAAAAACUCCAUUCAUUGUUGCACCACCUGGCGUUUUGGCUAUACUUUUCAGUUUUCAUAGACUAACAUUAUGUCUAAUUAAAGAGAUCUCUUUGGUUCACGAUGUACGUAUUUCGAUAGACAUCAACUUGAUUUUCUUUUUUAUUAUUUUGUUUUCUUUAGCUUAUAAUGCAUGUUAUAUCCAAAUGUGAAUAUUUGGGUGGGACAGAGGGAGUAACUGUCUUGCAGGCAACCACAUCCACAUACACCGGUCACGAAUUGUCUGAUCCUACAUUCUCUUUCAGGUAGAGUAAACUAGGAAUCCCACAAGGCUCAGUUUUGUUGAUAAAAUAGGAAAUACAGACCAAAUGACAUGCUUUUGACAAAUAUUUUAUAAAACAAAAUAAAUUAAUAUGUUAAAACAAAAAACUAUUAUUUAAAUGAUAUUUUAGAUUAUGUAUGCUAACUGAUUGUGGAUCUUUCGAAUAUUGAUGGGAGAAGACUGAUAUGAUGUAGCCCUGCUAAAAAUAAUGUGAAAAUAUGUAUUCCAAGAAGCACAUAAAUAUAUUUUGACGGAUGGAUAUAAAAUAAUAAAUGUACAUCAUUACUUCAUGAGUAAUGCUACAUGCACAUAAAGCUCUAUAGAAUUUUUGCACAGAAUGACGUGGUAGCGCCAGCUGUGCAUCAUACUAAUGAGACUUGUCUGCCAUUAUUUCAGCACACAGACUUUUCCUUUUCCUUUUCAUGUUCCAAUUCAUUUACAAAAUAGUAUUAUUUUUAGUUUUUAUUUUUUUUACACUUUUCAUUUUUUUUAUUAUUUAUAUCUUUUUCCUCUGCUAGCAAAGGAACACAAAACAUCAAAGAACAUUCAGAAAGUUUAUUGCUGCAUUAUCAUCGCAUCUCUUCCCAGGUAUGAUAUCUAUAUUCUAAUUUAUUUAUUUUGUAUAUUAUUGGAUAUGUUUUUAUUAAUAGAUUGUUUGUUUAUUGUUAAGCUUGUCUAUUGUUAAGACCCAUUCAUAUAAAUUUACAUGUAUAUUGUUAAGCUCUGUUAUGUUACGUAGGAAGAUUCAUUUAUGCAUUAGGAGAUCAUCACAAUGAAACGUCAAGGAAUAAUGCAGUCGAUAGUGAUGGCUGCAUCAGAAACCGAUGGAACCGCAUCAGUAAGCGGAUACUUGAUCAGCAUCAAGUACUAUCAGUAUCAGGAGAUUGAGUUUGACAAGUUUAGUUCCCGACAAAGAUAAAAUAUUUUUUUUUGUGAAUUUGAUAUAAAAGUUAGAUGUAAAAAUCAACAAGUAUUAAAUGUAAAAAAUAAAUAAUAUAAGUGAAAAUUAAAUAAUAUAAAAAAUUAUACAAGUUUUAAGCAGUGUUCUAAAAAGCGCAUUAAGCGGCCGUCUAAGCGGGCGCUUAAGCGGAAUCGGAGGAUAAAACGCUUCGAUUUUACAUUAAGCGGGUGAUUAAGCGUUUUUUAACAUUAAGCGGUCUGUUAAGCGGAUUAAGCGGUCAUUAAACGGAUUAAGCGGUCAGAAUGAUGUUGACUUGCUAAUUUUUUAUAUUUAAAUAGAAAUAUUUUUUUUAUAAAUAUUAUUAAAAUUUUAAAAAAAUAUUAAAAAUUUCUUUUUUUAUCAAAAAUAUUUUAUGUUUAAAUUCUUAUUACUUAAUUAUUUUAUAAUUUUAAUUUUACAUAUAAUAUUAUUAUAUAUAUAAUUUUAAAUAUAUAUUAUUAAUCCGCUUAAUCACCCGCUUAAAAUUCCGCUUAAACGUCCGCUUAUCCGCUUAAGCGCUAGAAGGUCACCUCACCGCUUAGGACCGAUUUGCGCUUUUUACAACACUGGUUAAGUAUAAAAAGAUAUAAAUAAUAAAAUAAGUGAAAAGUGUAAGAAAAGUAAAAACUAAAAAUAAUACUAUUUUGAAAUGAACUGGAACAUGAAAAUGAAAAGGAAAAGUCUGUGUGCAUAAAUAGUGGCCGACAAGCCUCAUUACUGUGAUGCACAGCUGGCGCUAGGGCUGAGCAGAACCGAACCAGAACCGAAGAACCGAACUGUGAAAAUUCGGUCUGGUUCAGUUCCUUUUUUUCAAAAUUUCGAUUUUUUCGGUUUUUCAGGCCGGACCGAAUUAAAUUUCGGUUCGGUCCGGUCCGGUCCUUUUGAAAAAAUUUCAGUUCUGGACCGAAUAGACCGAAAUAUUUAUAUUAUUUACUUAAUAUAUUAAAUAUACUAUAUAUUUAUAUGUUAAUGACUACUCAUCUGCUGUAAGUUUAGCGGCACUCCGCAUAGCCGCUUGAACCCUAAGUCCCUAACCACUAACCACAUACGCGAUCUAUACUAUCCAAGAAUCUAUAAUCAGAGAUUCAAACUUAAAGAAUCCAACAAUCCAAGGUUAGUUAAAUCUCUUUAAUAACAAUCGGCGAUGCACAUCAAUAACAAUCAAACACAUACUAUCAUCACUUCAUGUUUGUUUUAAUUUCUUAUUGCUGAAGACACACACUAUACUUAGACCCAGUGUCCACACUCCACUGUAAUGACUUUUGAUUUGAAUUCUGUAAAAUUUGAUGGCGGCUGGUGUAGCCUGCAAUUUGUUUCUUGUAUCUGAACUUGAUGUUUGAUUUUGAAUUAUUAUGCUGCAGCUGGUGAUUCACAGACAUGCUUGUGUAUUGUGUUUUUUUUUUGACUUUUCAUAUUUUUGUUUAAAAAUUUCGGUUCUCAAGAAAAGAACUGAACCGGACCGAAUUAUUUGAGUUCGGUUCCGGUUCGGUCCAUAUGAUGAUUUCGGUUCGGUUCGGUCCGGGAAAAAAUAGUAUUUCGGUUCUCGGUUCUUUCGGUUCGGUCCGGUUUUGGACCGAACCGACCGAAUGCUCAGCCCUACUUAUUACGAAAAUAUAUAAAUAUAAAUAUUAUACAGAAUUACAAAUAAUUGCAAAGAUGCAAAAUUAGAUGUUUUCCGGCAUCGAUCAGCAACUUCACCGGACAUCAUCACUCUUUCUCCGACGACAACUACAACACGAAGGUAGCUCGUUUUUCUUGGGUUUGGUUUCUUCCAUUGUCAACUCAUUAAAAUAAAGUCAAUAUCUUUGAACAAUUCAAUCACACAAUUAUACUAGUCUUCUGUGAAUCUGUCAAAAACUUAACAAAUCAAUAUUUAUUUAUUACACGAUCUAUCUCUCGACUCUUAGCUGUCCCAAAUCUCAGUUUGUGUGUCUUGUUGUACAACCCCAUUGGUUGAUAUCGUUGUAUUUGUGUGUAGAUUGUGAAAUUAGUGUCUGUUGUAUGAGACUAGUGUUCUUGAUUUUCUUGAUUUGAACAUGGAUAAUAAUAAUAAGUAUAAUCCUCCUCCAUACCCAUAUGGUUAUGGCUACCAUGUUCCACCAAAUCAACCUUACCCACCUCCUCCGUCGCAAAAUCAGCCGUACCUACCUCCUCAAAUUUACCCUUACUCGCGGCGCCUCAAAUCAGCCUUUUUCAGUACUUCUGUAAGCCUUGCACUAUCCUACCAGUCAUACCCACCCCAACCGCAAAAUCAGCCUUACCCGCUAAUUUUACCACAAAAUCAACUUUACGUGCCAGUUCCACCGCAGUACCACCAGUAUCCGGGAGCUCCUUAUGAUCAGAAUUACAAUUACUCACACUUGUACCCUUCGCAACCAGCUCCUUAUGUGAAUCCUCCUAAUUCGGAGUAUAGUUACCAUCAGUCCCCACAUUCGACCCCGCCGCUAUCGCAUUCUAGCUUGGGAUCCUAUCACUACUAGCAUCAGCAUUCGGCUUCGAACUCAAGUCUUCAACACCAGAGUUCGCUGCAAUAUGGUUCGGAUCAUGAAUAUUAUCAACACGAGUGUGUUCCCCUCAACAAGGUCGAAGACAUGUAUGUAUUAUUUAUUCGCCUACCAGCUAGUGUGCUCGCCGUGUUAGGCAUUUAGCGUGGUCAAAAAGAUAAAAACCAAAUUGGAGAUGCUAGAACUUGUGGGGUGGUCAGGUUUGUGAAGGAGCCAUGGGCCAGAAUGGUCCCGGGUUCAGCAUAUUACACCGAUAAUAUGGUGAAAUUUACAAAAGUAAUUAUCGCCUCUACCUCUAUUUUUUUUUCCCAGAUAUUAGUAUGCACUCUUUGUUAAUAUUGACCUGACUCUGUUCUCGAAUCUUCUGAACAUCACAGACUUGGAUGGGGAUGUGAAAUGUUACCGCAUGUUGGAGAUUUGGAGCUUGUUUGGGAUUUACAGCUAGAACAAUCAAGGUACAUCAUGCAGUAUCUCUUUCUUGUUACUAUGUCUAGAGUUUUGUUGGAUAAAUAAGUCCUUGAUGCAUCUAAAUUACUUCUCAUAUAAAUCUUCUAUUGACUUGUACUACUAUAUUUUAAUACAUUUUAGCACAUUAUUACAGCUUUUGUGAAGAAUUUUGGAUUAUGUAUGCUAACUGAUUGUGAAUCUUUUGAAUAUUGAUGGAAGAAGACCGAUAUGAUGUAUACCUGCUAAAUAUAAUGUGAAAAUUUGUGCUGAUGGAUGUAGAACAAUAACUGUACAUCAUUAUUUCAUACAUUAUGUCUUUCUUGUUAGUGUUUCACAUGUUCCUUUAAUAAAUCAGAGUCUUUCAUACUUCUGAAUUGUAGUUUAAGGUUACUAUCAACGUUCUUCCUAUGUCUGUUCACACCUUAUGAUUGUGUAAUUGUGUUGCUUUACCUAGAUUGUCAGGUUUGUUUAUGUGAUCAUAUAUGCAUGAAGGAUGUGCUGAUUUUUUGACAAAUUACAGUCAUAUCAAAUUUCUGGAAAUCGUAGAGACUAGAGAAUGUGUUUUAUAUAUUUAAUACUCGAGUCUGUUUCCUCUCUAAUAGGACCAAACUCUGGGAUCAAGAAACCUGUGAUAGUAAAUUUGCUUUGCGGGUUUAGAUUAUAAGGUUGUUUCACGAAACUGAGAAAAUGACAUGAUGAAUAUAUCAUGAAUAAUAUAGCACAAUAUAGCACAUUGUGACAACUGCCUCUGAUCGUCCUGUUUGUUUGAUAAAAUUAAUUCUAUUCUAAGGAAUGCUCUACUUAUUACUUACUCCCUCCGUCUCAAUUUAUAGGUCCAUUUUGGAAAAAAAAUUUGUCCCAAAAUACUUGUCCCUCUCUUCUUUCAAUACAAAUUUAUCUACACAAAAAAAUUGUCCCAAAAUACUUGUCCCUCUCUUCUUUCAAUACAAAUUUAUCUACACAUUAAUUGUGAUUUUUUUGAAACUCAACUAUAUUCUCACUUAUUAAUGCACUAAUUAAUGGUACAUGAGAUAAGAUUCUAUCUAACCAACUUUUUUCUUAAUAUGUGUGUUUAUUCCAAAAUGGACCUAUAAAUUGAGACGGAGGGAGUAAAAUUUACUGGUUACCAAAUUCCUCCUCUGUCAUUUAUUCGCGACUUGUUGUUAUUCGUCCAUAUCUUUAUGUUUUCUUGGAAGUUGGAACUGUAUAUACUUUUGAAUUGUUGACGAGCUUAGGGCAUCUCCAAUGGGCUAUGUAACAAUCUCUUAACUUUUUAUUUAUGAAUAUAAUAUUAAUUUUCCUCCAAUUUUUCCCUCUCUUUAAGCAGGUGUUUGGCGGCCACUUUUAAACCGGGCUUCUCGGUUUAUAAGUUAGAAGCACUUAUUCGUACCGUUUGUGUAAAAAGUCAAGAAGCACUUAUAAAAAGCUAGGAAUGCUAGAUUUUGUUUCAGGGCUUCUCCUUAUUUCCCAAACCCUUUAAUCACUUAUAAGUCUUAUCUUGUUUCUAACUUCUACUCUACUUGUUUAUUUUAAGCAAGAAGCACUUAUUUUAAACUCACCCAAACGACCCCUAAAUUUACUUUUCCCUCUCAUUUAUGUUUGGUUUUGUUUUUACUGUUAGGAAAAAUAGUGAUGUUACCGAUCUUGACAUCUACACAUCUCACUGAACACCUUUGAAAGUUCCUGACAAAAAAGAAUAACCGAAAGUUUAUUCAAAUAAAUUAUUUAAUUAGUCUUUCAUACUAAAUGUCACCUUGUAUUUACAAAUAAAAUAAUUAAUAGUCCUGCAUGAAAAAAAUUUAUUUGGUCAUGAUAUUAUAAAUUAUAAUAUAUUUUAAAUAUUUGAUUAGUUUUCCUUCACAUUUUGAAUUUGAUGUAUUGGCAUGGUUGAAUUUAAAACGAGUAAAAUAUGAAUAGAAAGCUGUUAUGACAUGACUAGUAUCAGUAUAAAAUUUGUGCAGCAGUAUAGUAGUACAAGUCAGUAGUAUAGUAGUAAGAGUACUUUAGUCAUACUGUGCUGUGCAAGUCUGUUAUGUUAGUAGUUCUAUAAGUACUAGUGUAAUUUCAUUUGUUGUUAUGCUUAAUAUGAAAAUUGGCUUUUGCCUCCAACUCUCUCUCUGCUUCUCUCUCUAUAACAACUUUCUCUCUCUAGGUUUUCUUGCUUUUCUCAUCUAAACUCUGUUUCUCAUCUCCAAUUUUGUCUGAUCUCAUCUCUAUUCUCUUCUAUUACUCUAUAAUUACCUAUUUCUGCACUCAUAUAACCAGAAAACACCAAAAGAAGUCCUAAACUAGGUCAGGAACUCACCAGAUCCUGACAAAUUGGUAUCAGAGCUGAAAAUUUCGAUCAACUACUGCUUCAAUAUCGUUGUGCUAGUAAAGGCGAGCUGAGCGGUUGUGGAAGCACUGUAAUCGCAGCUAAGGAUUAAAAGUUCUGUUCUAGAUACUACAGGUACUCUGUUCUAGUUGAUUGAUCUUUGAUCUGUUCUUGUGAAGUUGUCAUGAUGAAUUCAGCAGUGAAUUGGAUGACUACAGAUAGAUUACAGUAAUUGAUAGUAGUUAUAGCUUAAUACAGCAGAAAAUCACAAAAGAAGUUGUUGUAGGAGGUUUGAUUGUUGAUUCUGGUGUUAUACUGUUGUUUAAUUACUAACAGUUAGGUGUUUGAGUAAUUGCCUGAGUGAACUACAAGUAGUUGUAGUUACUCAUAUUGGAGAAAUAAGAAAGUAUGACUGUUAGCACUAGAAGUAGUAGCAAACAAGUUGAGACUUCUGAUCAAGGCACAAUGAGAAUGAAUCAACAACAUUUUCAUGGAUUUAUGGCAGGAUCUGACCAGAAGUUUAAAAAAAUGCAAGAACAGAUUGGAUUGUUGAUGCAGCAACUGACUGGAGCUAUGAGUAUGCAAGGAGACGAGGAUGAAAAUAUUGUGGUAAUUGAAGAAGAAAUGGAUGAGGAAGCUGAUCUAACCUUGCAGUCAAAAGGUAUGUUUAGAGAUUCUGAUCAUGCUGCUAAGCUGAGGCAGAAACAGAUGAAGGCAAAGCCUUCAAGGAAGAAUGAUGAAGUGAAUAAUGGAGGAGUUGGAGUCAAUCAUGAAGGAUCAGUUGAUUCCCAUAAUUUGAAGCACCUGAAGUUAACAUUUCCAUCACUCAAAGAGGGAGGAGAUGUUGUGGAAUGGUUAAGGGACUGUGAGGAAUAUUUCUCUAUUUUUGAAGUCAAUGACUCUAGAAGACCAGCCAUGCACAUGAGUGGAACUCCAAGAUACUGGUAUAAGUCUUUCAUGGUGGGAAGGGAGAGGCCUUCCUGGCAGGAGUUUAAACAGGCAUGUUUGGCUAGGUUUGGGGAGUUAGAUACUGAAUUAGUAUUUGACAAGUUCAAGAAGCUGCAACAGAUUUCUACAGUGGGGGCUUACUUUGAUGAAUUUGAAAAAUGUAGAGGGCAGUUAUUGAGUAAGAUCCCAAAUCUCACUCAGGAGUACUUUCUGGAGAACUUCAUUAGAGCUCUACAAGCUGAUAUUAGAGGGAUGAUCAGCUUAUUGGAACCUACCACACUGGAGCAGGCACUGAAAUUAGCAAGAUAUUAUGAGCAGACUCAGCCUAAUCAAUUCAAGAAAGGAGCUCCUUACAAGACUACUUAUAGUACUCCAGCAUCCUAUAAGAUGGGAACUGACCUCACCAGUUCCAACAGUAGCAAAUCUGCCCUAACUAGUCCCAAGGUUGCUGAGACUAUCACAUCCAAACCAAGGCCAUUAACCUAUAGCCAGAGGGAGGAGAGAAGGCAAAAAGGAUUAUGCUUCUAUUGUGAUGAAAAGUUUGUGAAAGGACAUGAGUGCAAAAAACCUCAAAACUUUUUAAUGAUAGUUGAAGAAGAGGUAACUAAGGAAGGUGAAGGAGAACCUAUUUUUGAUGAAGAUCCAAAUGAGGAAAAGUAUGAUUGGCAGGAACAGAAAAUAGUAUAAGCAGCCUUGAGUAUUCAGGAAACAGUGAGUAAAGGCCCACUGCAGUGCUUGGGAAGUUGGAAGGGCAAGAACUAUAAGGUUUUGAUAGAUGGAGGAAGUUCCUUGAAUAUCAUUUCUGAGACCUUCUGCAAAGAAAUGGGCUUACAGGUUCAAGAGAACUAUCCUAUAUCCAUGAGGCUGCCCAAUGGAACUACACUCACUAGUGUUGCUGGGUGUCCAGAGCUGAAAAUGAGUAUACAAGGGAGUACAUUUACUGUUAGUCCUCAGAUAGCAGAUAUUCAGGAAUGGCAAUUGAUCCUUGGGGUAGAUUGGUUGAUACAGUUGGGAGACUUCCACUGUAAUUAUCAAACCAGGUCUUUACAAUUUAAGUGGCAAGGACAAGAUAUUACUAUGACUCCAAGCACACAAUUGUUGUUAGAAGGAUCAUGUGCUCAGAUAUCAGAAGUAGUACCUAACUGGCAGCUACAGAUUGGAGGAAGCUAUGAAGGUGAUACAGAGAUACAAGAGUUAAUUGCUGCUACUACUGUAGAUCAAUCUGGACCUCAGGAGUACUAUAUGAGACAAGGGCUAUUGAUGUAUAGAGGCAGAUGGGUUAUUGGUAGCUCAGGAAAUCUGAGGAGACAGGUUUUUGAAGAGCUGCACUGUCAAAGUGUGGGUGGUCACUCUGGUCAAAGGGCUACUAUGAAGAGGAUUCUUGAGUAUUUCUAUUGGCCUUCCAUCAGGCAGAACAUUGGUCAAUGGAUUAGAGAGUGUGGAAAAUGCCAACAAAACAAUGGGGAACAUGUCAAGAGUCCAGGCCUUCUACAGCCACUGAAAAUACCUCAGGAACCUUGGAGGGAUAUAGCUAUAGAUUUUAUUACUGGACUUAGUCUAAGGGAAAUGAAGUCAUCUGGGUGGUAAUAGAUAGGUUCAGCAGGUAUGGUCAAUUCGUAGGCCUGCCUCAUCCAAUCACUGCAAAAACAUUGGCUGCGGUAUUCCUUGAGCAGAUUUAUAAACUACAUGGUCUACCUGAAUCCAUUGUCAGUGAUAAGGACAACUUGUUUCUUAGUGAAUUUUGGCAGCAAUUGUUCAAAUUGUCUGGAACAAGGCUCAAUUUCACCACUGCCUAUCAUCCCCAAUCAGAUGGAAGCACAGAGAGGGUCAAUCAAUGCUUGGAACAAUACUUAAGGAAUAUGACUAGUGAAGCUCCCAGGAACUGGUCUACUUGGCUACGAUCUGCUGAGUGGUGGUAUAAUACCACCUUCCAUACUGCCUUGCAAUCUACUCCUUUUCAGGUAGUCUAUGGCAUGAAACCUAGACAUCUGGUUUGUUAAGAAAGGACUCACACUAACAUCCAUAGUCUAGAAGAAUUGCUGAUGGAAAGACAGCAGCACUGGAGUAGGCUUAAGGAAUUGUUAGAGGAAGCUCAAAGGAAAAUGAAAAUUUAUGCUGAUACUAAAAGAUCUGCAAGGGAGUUUCAGGUUGGGCAGUGGGUGUAUCUGAAGCUUCAGCCUUACAGGCAAACCACGGUAGAUAUUAGAAAGAAUUUAAAGCUGGCUGCUAAAUAUUUUAGUCCUUAUGAAAUAGUGGCAAAAGUGGGAACAAUGGCUUACAAGUUAGCUUUGCCCGACACAUCUAGAGUGCAUCCUGUGUUUCAUGUCUCACAGUUGAAAAAAGCUAUUGGGCAACUUAAGGUGCAGCAACAGCUUCCUUAUGUAAAUGAUCAGGGUGUCUUUGAACUGAAACCAUUGAGACAGCUGGACAGCAGGAGCAUUCUCAAGAAUCAUAAGGUGGUUUAUCAGAAACUUGUUCAAUGGAAAGGCUAUAGUGUUGAGGAAGCCACUUGGGAAGAUGAGGACUUGCUUGCAUGCUCAUUCCCUGAUUUCCUUCCUCCAUGAGGACAUGGUGUAUUUCAAGGGGAGAGGAAUGUUAUGACAUGACUAGUAUCAAUAUAAAAUUUGUGCAGCAGUAUAGUAGUACAAGUCAGUAGUAUAGUAGUAAGGGUACUUUAGUCAUACUGUGCUGUGCAAGUCUGUUAUGUUAGUAGUUCUAUAAGUACUGGUGUAAUUUCAUUUGUUGUUAUGCUUAAUAUGAAAAUUGGCUUUUGCCUCCAACUCUCUCUCUCUGCUUCUCUCUCUAUAACAUCUUUCUCUCUCUAGGUUUUCUUGCUUUUCUCAUCUCCAAUUCUGUCUGAUCUCAUCUCUAUUCUCUUCUAUUACUCUAUAAUUACCUAUUUCUGCACUCAUAUAACCAGAAAACACCAAAAGAAGUCCUAAACUAGGUCAGGAACUCACCAGAUCCUGACAAAAGCUAAGUACGGAGAGUAGCAUUGGAAUUCUUAUGUUAUUCAAUGUAUUAAUUCACUAGAAACUAUAUUUUACAUUAUUAUUUAAGCAGUGAUUUAUAACCAUUAUCGGAGUAAUUCACGUUAUCAAUGUGUUAACUGACUAGGUACCAAAUUCACUUAGGUACUGUUUGGGGUUGUUGCAGACAGCAACAACAGUUUUUUACUGAAAAGUAGAUGAAAAAUUGUUCGAUAAAUCUAAAUGCAGCUUUUCUGAACAGCAGUUUUUGGCUGAAAAGCUGCUUUUAGAAAAAGCAGGUCCUCCCAUACUUUUGGAAAAAGUUGCUUUCAGCUUUUGCAAGAGCUAUUACAAAUUUCACUAUCAAACCACACAACAAAAAAUAUUUUUUUAUAUUAUAACUUAAAAUAAGCAAAUAUCAAAAAAAUUACCAAACAGUUAUCUAAUUUCUACAACAUCACUUUUUUAACCGGCACUUUUUGUGACCACAUAGCAAUUUUUAACAGCACUCUCAAACAGACCCUUACUAUGUAAACUAGCAUUUAUGCCCGCGGUGCAGGCUUUUUUCAAAUUUAAAUUAUAUAACACGUUGAGGAAUGGCAAUAUAAUGAUUUCUUAGGGAUUGAAGCCUGGUGCUCUUGAUGCUGAGAUAAGAAAACUACUUUGUCUCGCGGUGAUAUAUUUUGCUGAGCUUUUUUGAACUUCAUGUCAUCAUUUUUCUUGAUAAUGAAUGUUAAUGGUUAUAAUACUCUUAUGAUGAGGUGCAUUUCAAUUCUAUACUUCAGUUUGUUCUCAAGACCGUAGUACUUGUCCGAUAUAAUAGUGAAUGAUUUUACACGUGUCCAGAAAUAUUCAGUUUACGCUUUGCAUGUUUUGCCAUGGCUAAAUCACUUGACCACUUUUUUUAUUGCAACUGGGUGGACUCGAAAGUUAUAUGGUCUUAUGGACUCUGGGGCAUAUCUGUAGAUGCCGAUAGGUCAUGAAAAUCGAUUGUACUGUUCUUAUUGGGUAGGAAAUUUUAUAAAUACCACGUUAGUAAUUGCAGAAAAUGUAUAUUGUGUGAUUAAGGUGUGUUCACUUGCUGUCAUAAUUGUAUAUUAAGUUUGAUUAAACUUAUUAUCCGUGACUCAGGAACUUGAUCCACCUCCAUGGCUCAAUAGAAUGCGUGAACUGGGAUACCCACCUGGAUAUCUAGGUAAUAGCUUCUUUCUUUUAUAACUCUUGAUAUUGUACUUAUAAAACAAGUUAAGAUAUCAUUUAGCAGUUGUGUUAAAACUGGCAUGGAACUGGUAUCUUGUGUUAAAACUGGCAUGGAACUGGUAUCUUUUCACGCAUAUAUCUCUCCAUUAUGGUGCCCCCAUGAAUAAAAUUUUAAGUUUGUGGGAUUUUCUUUUAUUUUAUCAGUCAUCAUCCGGUCCCUCAUUUAAAUCGUGUGGGGUUUAAACUAAGCUUCCUUCCUACCAUUUUUGGAGAAAUUCACGUUAAUCGUCUCAAGUUAUAAGGUGUUUGCGGUCCUGAUCACGUGACUGAACAAUUUCUUUAGUAAUUAAUCACAUUUGGACAUACUUUUUGCCUUCUUUUCUUGUGCAGGAUUUAAAUAAGUGAAUAACAUGAACUUGAUUGGAUAGAUCACGUGAUGGACCCGGACUUAUUGUGUUGUUUCGAGACACUUAAAUUCUCGCUUUUCUCAAAAAUUAUUACAAAAAUAAUGAAUAAAAUAAAUGAUGUUAUUUAUCUAAAAAAAUUUUCAAUUUUUUUUGAAAUAUCAUGACAAAUCUAAUUUAUUUUAGUUUGAUAAUUUAGGUGUAGGAGAUAUUAUUAUUAAUAUAGAUAAAAUCAAUCAAAUUUUAAGAAAAGAAUUUAAAAUUAAUUUUUCAAUACCUAUCAUUUUCCUUAAAUCAUAGUAAAUUCUCACCUGACUGAGAUAAAAUAUAUCCUGAAUUGUUAACAAGAAAAUGUAAUAUUUUUCAUAUUCUUUCGAGACGUGAUCAUGUGCUUGCUCCGAUUAAUCCGGUAAAGCCUCUGGAGUAUGCACGUGAACGGAUGAAUAAAUAAAUAACUGUGUCGGGAAUGAAUGAAUAAAAAAUUCUCCUCACGUUGCAUCAACUAGCCAAUAUUACAAUAGAAAACCUAAGGUUAAUUUUAGGCCCGGGUAUAAUUAUCUGAAUCGGUUUAAUCCGGUUUAUAAAUUGGAAUUUUCGAGUUUUUGUUAAAUUAAUUUGAUUUGGUUUUUGUAAUUAAAUAACCAAUCUUUUUUUGUUUGAAUUCGUUUUUCACUUUUAAAUUGAACAUUUAACACAUAUAUAUAUUAAAAAUAAUAAUUUUAUAAAUGUCAUCUAAUUAUUUUCGUUUUAAAAAUUAUUUUCCACUUUUUCAAGAUUCUUAUUUAUUAUUACUAAUUAAUAUGUGAUAAUUUUUUCUUUUAAUAAAGAAGCUAUAUUUUUCAUAACAACAAAUAAAGAUAACAGCCUGGAUGAUUUUUUUAUUGAAAGUUUAAACAAAUAUCAUUUUACUUUUUAUCUAAGCAUUUAGUUAACAGACAAUACAAGCAAUACUUAAAAAUAUUUAUUUUUUUAUUAUUAAGAUGAACCAUGUUAUGAUAUUAAACCGGAGUCGAAUUGAACCAAUUUCAGCAAAAUGCCAGGGAUUCAAAAAACUUAUAUCGAUUUUUAUAUCGUUGAGCUCGAUUUUAAAUUUAAAAACCGCCGAAACCAAACACUGCUCGGUGCUUACUGAAUUAGCAACUAAAAGAGCAAAAAAUCGAAAAUCUCCUCACAUUCCCCGUAUUACAUUUUUAUCAUCUCACCAGCCGCCAAAUAUCUCUUUCGAGAAUCAUACUAUUCAGUACAGGGAAAGAUGGGCGAGGCUAUUGUAGCUGAUUUAGCUGGCGGAUUGCUUGGCAAGCUUGUUUCACUUGCAGCCGAAGAAGUUGUCCAGGCCUGGAAUUUUCAUGAAGAUCUCGAAACACUCCACCAGCGCCUGGAAUCAGUUGGAGCUCUCCUGUACGAUGCUCAUAACAAGAAGUUAAUUAUGUCUUCUGCCAAAAACUGGUUUGACAAACUUGAAGCUGUUGCCAGUGUUGCUAAUGUAUUCAUGGAUGAACUUUCAUAUGAAGUCACUCGAAGAAAAGUGGAGAAUCAGUAUAAGGCACUACUUGACUUCUUCAUUCCUUCCAAAAAUACCUUGCUAUAUCAUCUCAAGGUGGCUCGUAAAAUCAAAUCCAUUCAAUCUUCCUUUGAUAAAAUUUUCAAAAUGGCGGUGGAUCUGGGACUACAGCCUGUAGCAUAUUUAGGCUCAACGGUGCAAGAUAGAGACAUUCGCAGCACCACUUCCUAUGAAGACAAGUCCAUAAUAGUUGGAAGAGAAAAAGAUGUAUCGUACCUAGUUCACACAGUGUGCAAAAAACAUGAAGAGGAUUUACAAGUGGUUGUUGUUGCGGGAAUGGGAGGUCAAGGAAAAACAACUCUUGCUCGUUUGGUGUUCAAUAGUAAUGAUACCAUUAAUAAUUUUCCAGAGAGGAUGUGGGUCACUGUAUCAGAUGAUUUUGAUUACAUCAAGAUUUUAAAUGAAAUGAUAGAAUCACUUACUUCAAAGAACUUGGGAUUGAAAAUUCCCCAAGGACUUACCAAUGAGCUCCAAAAGAGUCUAAAGGGGGAAAGGUUCAUCCUCAUACUAGAUGAUGUCUGGAAUGAAGAAUCGGUGAAGUGGGAUAACCUGAGAAAUUCUUUGCUUCAAAUUGGUGGUGACAAAGGAAGCUGUAUUCUCGUUACAACCCGUAAACAGGAAGUCAUUGAUGCCAUGAGAAGUUGUGUGUCUUAUUGGCUGGAAAAAUUAUCACAAGAUGAAAGUUAUGAACUGUUCAAGAAAAUAGCAUUUUCAGAUAGAGGAGUUCUAGAGACCGAGGCAUUCGCGACCUUGGGGAGAAGCAUGGUGAAGAGGUGUGGUGGCCUACCUCUGGCAAUAAAAGCAUUGGCGGGGGUGUUAUACUCGAAGAAGUGAAGAGGUGUGGUGGCCUACCUCUGGCAAUAAAAGCAUUGGCGGGGUUGUUAUACUCGAAGAAGUCUGAGCAAGAAUGGUUGGAGAUCCAAAGCAGUGAAACAUGGCAAUCAAAAAGAGUAUUGCCUUCCUUGAAGUUAUCAUAUGACAAUUUACCUUCUUUGUCAAUUAAACAAUGUUUUGCAUAUUGCUCUAUUAUGCCAAAGGAUUCAGUCAUUUAUAAGGAUGAACUGAUACAGAUAUGGAUGGCAUUAGGGUUCCUCCAGCCCCCAAGAAGUACUGCACUGAUGGAAGAUAUUGGCAGCGAUUACUUCGAAAUUCUGUUGGGGAAUUCUUUGUUACAAGACGAAAAAAAGGAUGACAUUGGGAACAUCAUCAGUUGCAAGAUGCAUGAUCUAGUGCAUGAUCUUGCACUAGAAGUAUCUGAACAUCAUGCAGUAACUGUGAAGGCAGGUAAAGAGCUGAGUCAUGAUUGCAAGGCUGUAUACGUGAGGCUUGAUAACGGGGUUUCAAAUAUCAAACCAACGAUUCUGAAGCGUGCCUUUGAGAGAGUACAAGUAUUAUAUGCUGGGGCAGAUGUCAUUCUUCAUGUGUUACCUUAUCUCACCCACCUGACUGUUCUGGUGUUAAAUGUGGAUUAUAGUUGGGAUGCCCGGAAGUUGCCAUUUUCGCUACGCAAGAUGAAAUAUCUUAAACAUCUUGAUAUUUCACGCUGCGACUUUAGAUUGCCCACUGACAUCACAGAAUUGUACAACUUGCAGACACUGAGAGUUGGAAACCUAAAUCAGCUUCCUACAAGGUUUAGCAACUUGAUCAAUCUGAGACAUUUGUGCAUUAAAAAUAUUAGCUCUUAUGGUGAAAGACACGUGCUUAAUGGGAUAAGAAGGUUGACAAGUCUGCAAACGCUUUCUUACUUUGUUGUGAGUAAAGAUCAAAACUGUCUCGUUGGACAACUGGGAGGGUUGAAACAUCUUAGGGGUGAGGUUGGACUCCAUGGCCUUGACGAGGUGAAAAAUAUUGAAGAAGCAAGAAAAGCAAAGCUUUGUGAGAAGUCCAGUAUUCUGUGUUUAGAGUUGAACUGGGGUUCCAGCGGUGAGGAUAGUGGCAAUGAAGAAGAAGUAAAAGAUAAAGAAUAUAACGACCAGGAUGUGAUGGAAGGAUUGGAACCUCACCCAAAUCUGAAAAAGUUAAAGAUUGUCGGUUUUAGAGGAAAGAAGUUUGCAUCUUGGAUUACAAUGAUGCUGAACUUGGUGAAAAUCACAUUCAGAAACUGCAACCGAUGCGAAGUACUUCCACCACUUAGUCACCUUCCCAAAUUGAGGAAGAUAUUGAUUGAUGGGAUGGCAAAUGUUAGGGUUGUGGGAGAUGAUUUUUGUAGUGGCCAAAGUGUAUUUCCUCAACUUGAGGAGUUGGAGAUUAGGGAUUGUCCAAAGUUGAGAAAGAUACUGCCUGUUUGUUUUCCGUCAUUGAAACAAGUCACCUUUGUCGAACUGCCAAAUCUAGAAGAAUGGGAAGCAGCAGUUAUAAGUACAGGGGCUAGUUCUCAAAGUGAAUUUCCUAAACUUGAGAGUUUGGAAUUUUGGAGAUGUCCAAGGUUGAGAAAGAUCCCGAAUAGUUCUUUUCCUUCCUUAAAGCAAUUGCAAAUUACUCAUUUGAAGAGUGAUAUGAUAUUGGGAAAUAUGAGCAGGAAUGUUAGCUUACUAACCUCUCUACGUCUUACAAGUAUCGGUGACGGACGAGGAUACUCAUCUUCUUUAUCUUCGUUUUCGAACAUGGAAUCCCUGAUUAACAAUUCUCUGUCUUUGACCAAAUUAGAGCUAAUUGAUUGCAAGGGAUUAAAUUGUCUGACUCUUGGUAGCUCCCUUGAAUACUUAGAGAUCCAUGAUUGCCCGCAUCUAACUAGUAUAUUUUUAGUUGAAGGGUCAGCUGCUCUUAAUUAUAUUGGGAUUGCGAAACUCCCCCCCUCUCUUCUAGAUGGGGGAUUUCCCCAAAUUCAUAGUUGCAGGCUUGAAUAUCUGAGAUUAGGUCCCUUCUCAGAUGAUUGGGAUUAUAUGCCAUGGCCAAUAUCAUCUUCUUCUUCUUCUAACCUAAUUAAGCUAGACCUGUAUGGGUGGGAAAAGGUUAAGUCAUUAGUGCCCUUUGAGCAACCCCUGUUCACCGGCUACCCUGCCUUGACUACCAUGAGUUUAUAUAAUUUCGAAGGAAUGAAAGCUCUUCCGGAUUCAAUAGCAAAACUCCCAUCUAUCAAGGAAUUAAGAAUCUGGGAUUGUCAUAAUUUGGAGAGUUUGCCCACGUUUGAAGAAUCACAUACCCUUCAAACACUGAGUAUAUGUGAGUGUCCUGUUCUGAAACAAAGAUGCAGGAAGGAUCAAGGGCCAGAAUGGUUCAAAAUUCAAUACGUUCCAAAUGUAAAAUGGUAAGCUUUGCAUGUCAAAUUUAUCUCUUCUCCCUCUCAGUUAAUCUGUUUGUACUAUUUAAUUGAUAUAUCUGAUUUUGUUAAAUCAGGGAUCAUACAAGGAGUCAGGGAAGUUUUUUAACUUUUUAGCUUGGUGAUUGUCUCUACUCCAUCUUCCCUUCCUUGACUGAUUUGUAUGAGUAAAUUCAAAGAAGAGAAAGCUCUCCCGAGUUCAAUAGCAGACCUUCUAUCGCUCAAGCAGUUACUUAUCUGAAAUUCUGAGAAUUUGGAGAGUUUGCCCAUGUUUGAGAACAACGGUAAUUUUCCAAAUCUGAAAGAAUGAUACACGGAAGAGAGAUGGUCCAAGAUUCAACAUAUUCCAGAUGUAACUUAUGUAAAUUGGCAUAUCUGAAUGAUCACCUCACCCUCUGUUUGUCACUAUUUAAUGAUAUAUUUUAAUUUGUUGAAUCAGGAUUUAGAUAUUGCAGUAUCUCCAUCUUGUCAUUAUUUUCCAUGUUCAUUUUCCAAAAAUUAUACUCCUAAAUCAGAUAAGAUAUAGCGCAUCUUGGUGAGUUGCUUGUUGUAAUAGUAACUGAAAUAGUGAUUAUGAAUGUUACUUUUCAGUAUCAGAAUAGUGCAUCAUGGAUAAUAUUUUAUAUGAUUUCUUUUUAUACAUCAAUAUUUCUAUGUUUUUUUUUUUGGUUCAAUGAUCUAAUAACUGCAUGGUGCAGCUCUUCAAGGUGUUUUGGGACUGAGAUAAAUGAUGCAGAAGCCAAGCCUCUUCUCUUGUGUUCGUCCAAUGAAAUAUGAAUAAUCAAGUGCAGUAAUGUCAUUAUAAUUGUCUACUCCUUUGUCAAGAAUGCCCUGUAGGAAUAAAAAACAGAGCUCACUGAGCUCAGUAAGAGAAUCCAAGUGUUGGCAUACAAUGAGAUCGGGUAAUUAGGGCUAAUUCAUUGUUGUACUAUACCGAAAGUUUCAAUUGAGUAACUAGACUAAAAAAAGUUACAAUUGUAUCAUAAAAUUGCAGUAACUUUCAAUAACUCAAAAUUACUUGCACUAUCGUUAAAAUGCGUUGACUAUUAACAAAGAUCCAUUCAACAAUGUUACAUUAAAUCUAGUUCAUAUAUCAUAACAAUAAAUCUAUAAAUAGAUAGUUUCUCCUCCCAUUUUUCAUGGCUUAUUACUACCACUAUCCUUCAUCACCGUUUUAAUUACAUAUCAUGCUAUUGAUUUCAUUAAAUCUGCAUCCACGUGCAAAGUAACACCGGAUAGUACAGCAGCAGUUAAUAACAAGUUUCAACUGCCGGGUAACAUAAGCUACUACUGGAUACUGCAUAUAUUCUCAUACACAGCACUGAUAUGUACUUCCUAUCUCACAAAUUCUCCUUUUCAAUUUGAAUUUAAAUUCUGGAAAAAGGUUUUCUCUCUUCAUUCAUACAAGCAGAUACAUAUAUUCUUUAGUCUUCCCUCUCCCAAUCGAUGGAUGAGUUAGUUUACACAGCGUCUGUAUAUAACUAUUUUGUCCUGCAUGAUUGUUCUAUGAAUUAGUUUAAUUUUAACAAUUUCUCUUUUUCUGAAUUAGUUGUAGCAGUUCGAAGAGGGUUAUCCAGUAUCUGCUGUUGCUGGUUCUACAAACAAACAUGGAAAGGGUGAUGGAGUUCUUUGAACCUGGUAUGUUCUUGAUCGACCUCUGCUUCUUCUUUUUUCCGUACUCUUUGCCGUCUUCCAACUGUUGUUAUAAUUUCAAUGUGCAUUCUUCUUUUAUCGUGCUUAGGAAAAUCGCCUAGGACGCUUUUCAGUGAUGUUCCAAACUUAACAAACUAUUCGAGUUACAGUUCUUUGUCGCCUAGGACCUUCAUAUUUGUUAUGGAUAUUGUUCUUGGGUAAAUUUAUGGUUACGGAGGAUUUUGUAUCACGCUUUUUAAGUGUUUGACAAAAUUCUUGGGUAACAUCUAAAAUAAAAGCUAUUAUUUAUUUAUAAAUAAUUUUCACUUAUAAACAAUAAAUGCUUCUUUAAGUUAAGCCUCGAGUUAUAGAUUCGGGAAAUGAUGAUCUUGGAAAAGAAUUUUAGCCUAUGUAGUUGAGAACAAAGUUCAUGUGUUAGUUUAAAAAAAUAGUAUUUGCUUAUGUUGUAUAAAAAUGUACGGUACAUAUCACCUUAAUGAUCUUAUAAUAUUUUUCUAAAAAAUAUAGAUAUAAUAUAAAAUAUUAUUUUAUUAUAUUAACUUUACUUUAUUUGACUAAAAUCAUCAUAUAAAGUAAAACUCCCAAAAUCUUCUCACUUAUAACAUGAAUUUUGAUAACCAUUAGAGGCCGUUUGGAAACAUGGAUUUAAUUUCAAAUGAUGAAUUUCAAAUUAUAGGAUUUGAAUUGUCAUUUUAAAUUCUUAAAUUUAUACUAAUAUUUGAAUGUUUGGAUUUCAAAUGAACUCAACACUAAGCAGACCCCAGAAAAACUCCAUAGAGAUACUCAUACCUCCAAGUACUACAUAUAGAUAUACAUAAUUUCAAUUUUAAGACCUGUUUGUUUGCUUAUAGUCCUAUAUGCAAUCUGUAUUAAUUUUGUUAAGUCAAACAAUUAGUCUCCACCGGCAAGCAUUCUAAGAAAGACAAGGAAGUUGUAAAACAUCUAUAUCAGCACACAAAAUGUGGUAACCUGUCACAGCAAAUAACUCAAAAAAAAGGAUUACAAAAAUGCCAGAUGUGGAAAUGGAGAAACUCAACAUGAACGGGAGAGUUUUAUCAGGUUUUUGAAAAACUUGUAUAUAUAUGAUGUUUACUAAAUUUUCUGCUAAUCUAUUUCAUGAAAUUUAUGAGACUUGGCAGUAACAAGUAACAACUGUAUUAUGACUGGGAAGAAUGACAUACACAUCAAAAAGCAUAAUCUGACAAUAAUGUGCGUUCCUUCCAUUCAUCCCAUACAGACACGAAGUUGCAUUAUUUACCAGGCCAAUACUGUGCUUGAUGGAUAUAGAAUAAUAACUGGAUCAUUACUUUAAACAUUAUCUCUUUCUUGUUACUGAUUAACAUGUUCGUUUAAUAAAUCAUAGUCUUUCAUAUUUUUGAAUUGCGGUUGAAGUUUACUAUCAAUGUUCUUCCUAUGUAUGUUCACAGUUUACGAUUGUGUUGUUUUACCUAGAGUGUGAGAUUUCUUAAUGUGAUCAUAUAUGCGUGAAGAUAUUCUUCUUUUUUAAUAUACUGAUAAAUUACAGUCACAUCAAAUAUCUGGAAAUCGCAGAGAGUAGAGAGUUUGUUUUAUAUAUUUAAUCCUCGAGUCUGUUUUUUCUGUAAUAGGACCAAACUCUGGGAUCGACAAACGUAUUGGGGUUUCAGAUUAUAAGAUUGUUUCAAGAAACUGAGAAAAUGACAUAAUGAAUAUAUCAUAAAUAACAUAGCACAUUGUAGCGACCGCUUGUGAUCGUCCUAUUUGUUUGAUGAAAAUAAUUCAUUUCUAGAGAAUGGUGUACUUGUUGCGUAAAAAUUACUGGGUUACUAAAUUCCCGCUUUUCUGUCAUUUUUACACGACAUCUUUUUAUUCAUUCAUAUCUUUGUGUUUUCAAGUUCAGUGACCAAAUAAUCUCGUGGUGCAACUCUUGGAAGUUGGAACUAUAGGAUAAGCGAUGCAGAAGUCAUGCUUACGGAUAGCCGGUAUGUUCUAAUAGAAAUGCAUAUACUUUUGAACUGUUCAUGGAGCAUACCAAGAGAAGUAGUUAGCAUGUAUUCACUAUUUAAUUUGGCAUUUUCUCUUAAUUUAUUGAAUCCAUGUGCUGGUCUCAGUUAUAACGUGUUUGCCAGUCCUGAUCAUAUGUUUGCAGUUUGCUCCAACCAAUCCAUUAAUUAAUCCGGCAAAGUCUCUGGAGUAAACACAUGAAUGAAUAGAUAUAUAAAUAAAGUCAAACAAAUUAAUCAAAAUUCACAUAGCAUCAACUAGCCAAUAUUAAAAUGAAAAAAAAUAAGGGUUCAUUCAGCAACUAAUCUAUAGUACCACUUGAUUCAGAAACUGUUAUAGCCCAUAUUACAUUUUUAUCAUCUCACCAAAUAUAUCUCAAGAAUUAUACCAGUCAAUACAAGAAAAGAUGGGCGAGGCUAUUGUUGCUGAUUUGGCUGGCGGAUUGCUCGGCAAGAUUGUUUCACUUGCAGCCGAAGAAGUUGUCCAGGCCUGGAAUUUUCAUGAAGAUCUCGACACACUCCACCAGCGCCUGGAAUUUAUUGAUUUCUUGCGAGUGAGGUGUCGAUAUAUAUGAAUCGAGGGAUUUUGAUUCCGAUAAUUGGUUAGGGAUUUGAUCGAAAAAUUGAAUAAAAAUUAGGAUUUCAUGUAAAUGACUGAGGGAGAGAACCCAAGAUUGGCUCUGCAAAGAAAAUCUAGAUAGGAUGGGAUAUGGAUAAGACAAUUAUUAGGUUGACUGGUUGAGUGGUGGAAAACAAAGAAUGAUCAGCCAAUAUUAAAAUGCAAAACAAAGGUUGAUGUAGCAAUUUGCCACUUGAUUUAGAAACUGUUAUAGCCCAAAUUACAUUUUUAUCAUCUCACCAAAUAUAUCUCAAGAAUUAUACCAGUGAUCAAUACAAGAAAAGAUGGGCGAGGCUAUUGUUGCUGAUUUGGCUAGCGGAUUGCUGGGCAAGCUUGUUUCACUAGCAGCAGAGGAAGUUGUCCAGGCCUGGAAUUUUCAUGAAGAUCUCGACACACUCCACCAGCGCAUGGAAUCAGUCGGGGCUCUCUUGUACGAUGCUCAUACCAAGAAUUUAAUCAUGUCUACUGCCAAAAUCUGGUUUGACAAACUUGAAGCUGUUGCGAAUGUUGCUAAUGUUUUUAUGGAUGAACUUGCAUAUGAAGUCACUCGAAGAAAAGUGGAGAAUGGCCAUAAGUCAUCAGACUUCUUCAUUCCUUCCAAAAAUACUUUACUAUAUCGUCUCAAGGUGGCUCGUAAAAUCAAGUCCAUUCAAGCUUCCUUUGAUAAAAUUUUCAAAAUGGCAGUAGAUCUGGGACUACAGCCUGUGGCUUAUUUAGGGUCAACGGUGCAAGAUAGAGACAUCCGCAGCACCCCUUCCUCUGAAGACAAGUCAAUAAUAGUUGGAAGAGAUAAAGAUGUAUCGUACCUAGUUCAAACAGUGUGCAAAACACAUGAAGAGGAUUUACAAGUCCUUGUUGUAGCGGGAAUGGGAGGUCAAGGCAAGACAACUCUUGCUCGUAUGGUGUUCAACAGUAAUGAUACCAUUCAUAAUUUCCCAGAGAGGAUGUGGGUCACUGUAUCAGAUGAUUUUUAUUACAUCAAGAUUUUAAAUGAAAUGAUAGAAUCACUUACCUCAACGAACUUGGGAUUGAAAAAUCCCCAAGGACUGACCAAUGAGCUUCAAAAAAGUCUAAAGGGGAAAAGGUUCCUACUCGUACUAGAUGAUGUCUGGAAUGAAGAAUCGGUGAAGUGGGAUAACCUGAGAAAUUCUUUGCUUGAAAUUGGUGGUGACAAAGGAAGCUGUAUUCUGGUUACCACCCGUAAACAGGAAGUCAUUGAUGCCAUGAGAACUUCUGUAUUUUAUUGGCUGGGAAAAUUGUCAGAGGAUGAAAGUUAUGAACUGUUCAAGAAAAUAGCAUAUUCAGAUGGAGGAGUUUUAGAGACCGAGGCAUUGGCGACCUUGGGGAGAAGCAUGGUGAAAAGGUGUGGUGGCCUACCUCUGGCAAUAAAAGCAUUGGCGGGGUUGUUAUACUCGAAGAGGUCUGAGCAAGAAUGGUUGGAGAUCCAAAGCAGUGAAACAUGGCAAUCAAAAAGUGUAUUGCCUUCCUUGAAAUUAUCAUAUGAUAAUUUACCUUCUUUGUCAUUGAAACAAUGUUUUGCAUAUUGCUCUAUUAUGCCAAAGGAUUCAGUCAUUUAUAAGAAUGAACUGAUACAGAUAUGGAUGGCAUUAGGGUUCCUCCAGCCC
This 44492-nucleotide long non-coding RNA is filed under the name Daucus carota (carrot). RNAcentral describes it as "long non-coding RNA (DCAR_LNC005116)". Lineage: Eukaryota; Viridiplantae; Streptophyta; Magnoliopsida; Apiales; Apiaceae. The record is from RNAcentral.